UUGAUUGAGAUCAAUUUGGAUUACUUUUAGAGAUUCUAGAGGAAUUUAGAAGAAUAUAUAAAGGAAAAAACUUAGGGAAGAUGAAAAGUGCUAGUUAGAGCAGCCUUCUAUUGCACCAGAAGAAGUGGGCGCACCCUUCUACUAUGUCAAAAGGACUUGACGCAUCUGUAUAAGUACGCUAGGAAGGAAAAUAAAGCAACAAGCCGGCCUUUGACUUGAGAAUUGGAGAACCCUCUCCCAGACUUAAGUGGCACACCUUUUAAGUGCGCCAAGGAAAAGAAAGAGUUGUGGCUCAACCCCAUCAAGGAUUGAUAGGCAUACUCCGUCCACUAAAGAUUAAAUGUGUUAGCACAUCUCUUAUCUCUCUCCAUGAACAAAUGGUGCAUUUAAUUAUACAUACACUGUAAGCAUUGGGCUGCCUAUCCGAUGGUGCAAUUCAAAAGCUGUGGCAUGUUUGGUCAACGUAUGAGAAGCAUCCUCUUGCAUCCAACAAUCUUGCAUGGGUGGGGCACACCCAACCUAAGUGUUCUCGAAGUUUGGAUGGUGUUGGAGCUGUUCUUUCCAAACUUCCAGCUUCUUCUUGUCUCACGUUCACCUGCAAUGCAAGGUUUACCCGGUGAAGCCCCGGGCAGACCCCUCCGAUGGUUAAGUCUGUUGGAGUGUGAGAAGCCAACUUCUUUUUAAUUUUUCUUCUUAGCUGUGUUCUUAUACAUCUCUUCACUUACCGCCGGGACCGGAGAUAAUGGGGGCAUUUUCACCACAUCACUGCCCACUUCGCCACCUUCUCAUGGCAGCAAGCUUUUUGGGCUAACCGCUCCCACCAUUUUUGGCGGCUAGCCCCUUCAACACCUUUCACAUUACUUACCAUAUUUCUUUCUGGGCCAGAGACUCUGUCUAGUCCUCCAAAUUCACCUCUUAAUUUUAAAUGCUUGGGCCCAGGCCCAUUGGUCCAAAUUCGGCUCUUAAUUUUUAUCCCUUGGAGGAGUGUUUUUAGUUUUUCUUCUUGAAAUACUUUGCAGGUACAAAACUGUAUGAGCUUUUUGUUCAUGGAGUUCUAUGGGAUUCUUCGAAAAUGAAUGAAAUUCAAUUUUAAAAGAAGUCUUUUGUUUCUUUGCUUGAGUAAUUUUUUACCUUAAGUUUAAUUUCCCUCGCAUGUUCUAUCCAUGAAGCACUAAUUCACUUUACUGUUGUGGGUUGAAAGGGGUUGUAUCCCUUGCAACUCAAUUUAGUCCUCAAUGGUUUCAAAGGGUAGCGGAUAGGGAGGUGAAGUUCAUGAUUGCAGCAAAUGCAUGCAUGUUGUAGCAUUCUGAGAGCCCUAAGCUAAGCAACUCCAUGAGCAUGUUUGUACCUUAUAUAUUUAGCUUUCACUUCCCUUUGAGGUUGAAAAUACUAGGUGUUACACGGAAAAACGAAAAUAGGCAAUAAGAAAAUAUGAAUAAUUUAUGUGAAAAAUCCUAAACAAAAAAACUAAGGAUAAAGAAAAUCCACUAAAUUAAAAAUUGGUACAAAAACAGAAAGAAUCCAACGACUAUUGUAUAAUCCUAAAUCCUAUACACUAUCGCAUAUAUAUAUGAGAAAAAAUAAAUAAAGCAGGUCCAUAUCGUAGGGGCAAUCCUCUGCACCCACAACAAAAUCAAUAAUGGGUUAAAGUAUAAUUUUUCUUCACCAUAUAUAUCAUACCACAAAUUUUUCAAGUCAAACCAAAAAACAAUUCAUAUCAUCAAGCUCUAACAUUAAAAAAAGAUGAAAACAAAUCUUUGUAUUAUGGUUAUGGGAGUAACUUUAAACCUUAAAAUUCUCAUUCAAGCUUUUCCAAAUGAAAUAUAUUAAUAUUAAGUUUUAUUUAAAUAAUCUAUUUUUCCGCAGAUAUAACGAUGAGUUGAAAUUUAGACUUAUUUAAUUUGUUUAUGUCAAACAUUCAAAUCUAAAAUACAUAUAACAAAAGAUCAUGGGAAUUUAUAAUAUAAACAAUUUUUAUGCAAAGGGCCAAUUGUAAAUAAUAGAAUACUAUUUUCAAAAGAGAUCCAAAUCAAGUCGUUGUUUUUAAUAAAUAAAUAAAUAAAAUUUUUGUUUCAUUUGGAAGAUGGUGUUAAAGAGCGACUGAAUCAAAUAACUUGCUCAACCGGCAAAGCUGAGCUGGUCAACUUGACUCGCUUAUAUAUAUACGUAAUUGGGGAAAAAAUGUCAGAUGAGGGGGCGGAUUAGGUCACUUGGGGGGUGCCGGGUGUAGAUGGAAGAAAGAAGUACGUAUAUAAUAAUAAUAAUUGGAGGGUUGACGUUGUCUUGAGAGCAACCGAUGAUGAUAACCCAUGCAGUAUUUUUGUCAUGGGAGAAUUAGGGUGGGGGUGGCCGUAAAAAAUAAUGACUAUGAAGCUCACUAUUUUAAAGGAAAGUUUUACUUUUAAAUAUAUUCUUUAUAUUAUUUAUAAAUAAAUUAAGAUUGUCAAUGAUGUGGGUCCAUAUAUGAUGAUAAGUACAAGUUGAUAAAUUAUGUGGGGCUCAUAUAUGAUAAUAAGUACAGGUUGAUAAACAAUCAACGGUACAUUUCUCAGCUUGAAAAAAUUGUUGUCACUUUUGAACAAUUGACGGUUUAAAAAUUUACUAUUUUUUUUUCAAAAAAAAUUAAGAUUUUUUAAAGAACCUUGCAAAAAAAAUAAUUUUUAAUAUCUCAUAAAUAAAAAUCAUAUCCUAAAGUUAUUAUGUCGUUUUAUAUAUAAAACAUACAAUUAAAAACUUUGUUAUCAUAAUAUAAUGAAUAAUUAUUUUUUAAGAGCACUCAUCAAUUGAAUAACAUAUAAAUAUUCAAUUGACUAAUACACACCUAUUAAAUGAAAUAACUCACAAUUAUUCAUGGGGUAAUAUAGCACGUGAAAAAAUUAAAUAAAAAUAAAUUAAAUUAUGUUGUAAUAUAUUGUAAUGAUAGUGUAUUUAUAUUGUAAGUAUAAUGCAUUUAUAUCGUACCUAUAUUUAAUUAAAAAAGUAAUAAUUCUAAAAAUGUUUAUUCAUACCCUAUUGGUAUUAACACAUCGUAUUAAUAUAUUAACAACAUUUAUUUAGUGUCUUGAAAUUAUUUAAUAAUUUUUUUAUAUAUAUAAACUACGUGAAUUCAAAUUAGUAUUUCAUUUGAUUUCAAAAAUUAUUUAUGAUAUAGGUAUGUUGUGAAAUAUGGUAUAAUCAUAUAAAAUUACAAUUUUAAUAAAAAAUUUCAUAAAUUUUUUAAUUAGGUUUUAUUGUAAUGUAAGUGUAUUUAUAUUGUAAUUAUAACAUAUUUUUGUUGUACUUGUAUUUUAUAAUAAAAGUAAUAAUCUUGAGGAUCAUCUUUUAUACCUUAUUAAUAUUCAACAUAUCAAAUAUAUUAACAUUAUUCACUCGAUGCAUUGAGAAAAACAAAUUUAUAUGAAAUUUAUAAAAAAAAAACACUAUGCAAAGGAAAAAAAAUCAUAUAAAUUUUUUAAAAUUAUUUUAUUAUAAAAAUAAAAAAUGAUUAAACAUUCUCUACCAUUUUCUUAUUCUUUUUAGAGAAUUUGAAUGAAAAAUUAAACAUUUUAUCUUCCUUAAAUUUAAUACAAAAAUAUAAUUUAUCAAUUUAAAAUUAUAAUAUAUAUAUAUAUAUAUAUAUAUAUAUAUAUAUAUAUAUAUAUAUAUAUAUAUAUAUAUAUAUAUAUAUAUAUAUAUGAAAAAAUCAUCAUUUUUAUUAUAUAAUUAUAAAACUUAUUUUAAAAAUUAGAAUAAACAUAAAAAAAAAGGUAAAAAAACAAUAAAUGAUAUUUUGAAAAUAAUUUUUAAAAGUAUUUUUGUUUUAAAUAGUAAAUUUAAAUAACAAAUUAUAUAUAAUUGUAAGAGUUAAACCCAAAAUUUUGAUUUAAAAUUUAAAUAUUAUUAAUUACAAUAAAUAUAGGACCCAUAUACCAUAAAUGUAUUGACAAAUCAAGUGAAGUGCUUUAAAUGCUUUGAAUUUUAAAAGUUUUAGCUAAAGGACAAUUUUGGUAUAUUAAGCCUAUUAAAAUCCUUCUCAAGAAUUAUUAAAAUAUAUCACCCUUUCUAAUAAUUGUUCUGCCUAACCUAUUUUUAGGUAAUUCUCCCUUUUUUUCAUUCUCAUCCAUCUUCACGGGACUUCGUCUACCAAAUAUGACAAAUAUUAUAUUGUUAUAUUGAAUAUAUGUACUAAAAAAUAGAAAUGGGAUGAUGCACAUGGCCUGACGUGUACGUUAUUAAUUUGUUUUUGUCUACGUUUGUUUGUUUGUUUUCGUUUUUCUGUUUAUAUACGUAAAGUCAUUUUUUUCCUCUUCAUGGAAUUCUUUUUGAUGAAAAAAUUAGAGGAAAAAACACAGAUUUAACGAUAAAUUAUCCAUGUUCAUGACAAUAAGAAAAAAGAGUUUCACUAUAUAUAAAAUUAGGAUUACAUUAAAAGGUAUUUAUAUUAAUUAAAAAUAUGAUAUUAAUCAUAAUAUUUAUAAUAGACAUAUCAUAUCAAAUAAAUUAUCCAAUUUUUUAUUAUAUUAAUAGAUAAAUUGAAGUUUUUAUGGUAAAUUUAGAUUAUUUGAUAUCACAAAUAUUAUAACGUUUAAAAAUUAAUUUUAAUAACUAAGUUGUGUUUGGUUUAAAAACCAAUUUUUAGUUUUCAUUUUCCAUUUUCAUUUAUGUUUUUUCUUUUCUUAAAAAUAUCUUUGAUUAAGAAAAGUAAAAGUAGUAUUUUAAAAAAGUAAACUUAUAAAAUCUUGUUUGAUUUUAAGCUUUCGUGAAUGUAAAAACUUGUGAAAAAGUAAGCAUUGUUGUUAGUACUCUUAAAUAUUAAUUAAAUAUGACUAAGUGGAUGAUGUCUAUAUCACUUCUCCUGCCAUCGUCACCCAGUGCUCCAGAAAGAAACUGGAAUCUGGACGCGUGAUUAACAACUUCGCUGAUCGCCUACCAUUCCCAUGGCCUCAUGCCUUAUAUAUUUCCACAAACCUAGCUCAAUUUUCAUAUCCACCUUCACUGUCCUAUACUCACAAGCCAUGGCCAUAGAUACAAGCCUCUUGCCUGAGCUUGCUGCAGCAACUCUUCUCUUCUUCAUCACCCGCUUCUUCAUUCGUUCUCUCUUUCCCAAACCUUCCCGGAAGCUCCCUCCUGGCCCCAGAGGGUGGCCGCUCCUCGGCGCUCUUCCUCUUCUAGGUAACAUGCCUCAUGUUGCACUAGCAAAGAUGGCCAAAAGAUACGGACCUGUCAUGUUCUUGAAAAUGGGCACUAACAGCAUGGUGGUGGCCUCAACUCCGGAGGCAGCUCGGGCUUUCCUUAAAACCCUAGACAUUAAUUUCUCGAACCGCCCGCCUAAUGCCGGUGCAACACACUUGGCCUAUGAUGCCCAAGACAUGGUUUUUGCGGAUUAUGGGGCAAGGUGGAAGCUCCUGAGAAAGCUAAGCAACUUACACAUGCUUGGUGGGAAGGCUCUUGAGGACUGGUCUCAGGUUCGAACUGUUGAGCUAGGUCACAUGCUUCGAGCCAUGCUUGAGUUGAGCCAGCGAGAGGAGCCGGUGGUGGUGCCGGAGAUGUUAUCUUUUUCCGUGGCCAACAUGAUAGGGCAAGUGAUACUAAGCCGCCGGGUGUUUGAAACAAAAGGGUCGGAGUCAAAUGAGUUCAAGGACAUGGUGGUGGAGCUCAUGACCACUGCUGGGUACUUCAAUAUUGGCGAUUUUAUUCCGUCCAUCGCAUGGCUGGACAUCCAAGGGAUCGAGCGCGGGAUGAAGCAUUUACAUAAGAAGUUCGACAAGUUAUUGACAAGGAUGAUAGAGGAGCACACGGCAUCAGCCCAUGAGCGCAAGGGAAACCCAGAUUUUCUGGACGUAGUCAUGGGCCAUCAAGGAAAUUCUACAGGGGAGAAGCUCACCCUUACCAACAUUAAGGCGCUCCUCCUGGUAUGCAUAGUUAAAGCUCGUCUUUAAUUUUGUUUUUCGAUAUUUCCUUUCCGGAAACAGCACUUUUAUUGUUUUCCGGAAACAGCCAUUUUAGGGGCACAUCACUGUUCUUUAUUUGGAUUUUUUUUUUGUCUUUUUCCACUUGCAUGGUUGUUUUCAUAUGCUCAGCUGCAUGGCACAGGAAAAUUGGGAAAAAUGAUUGGUUCUCUGAUCAGACCUUCUGCACCAAAACACACUUCUCUCUAUUUUAUAAAAUCAAGAACAUUUAUGGUUUACAUGAUUUUUCGAACUUGAACUUUUGCUAGGGCUAAUGCAUGGAUCUCAAUUUUCAAUUGCGUUUGAUUACAUAAAUUUCAAGUAUGUCACCAUAUUUUUGUUUCCUUGGCUAGAAUUUAUUUACUGCAGGAACAGACACUUCAUCAAGCGUAAUCGAGUGGUCUCUGGCUGAGAUGUUGAAAAACCCGAGCAUCCUCAAGCGUGCUCACGAAGAAAUGGAUCAAGUGAUUGGAAGGAGCCGGCGGCUCGUGGAGUCUGACUUACAAAAACUUCCAUACCUACAAGCCAUAUGCAAGGAAAGCUUCCGGAAGCACCCAUCCACCCCAUUGAACCUUCCUCGUGUCUCAAACGAGGCAUGUGAAGUGAACGGCUACUACAUCCCAAAGAACACUAGACUUAGCGUGAACAUAUGGGCAAUCGGGCGAGACCCUGAUGUCUGGGAAAGCCCGGAAGAAUUCAGUCCAGAAAGGUUUCUAAGUGGAAGAAAUGCAAAAAUUGAUCCUCGUGGAAAUGAUUUUGAGUUGAUCCCGUUUGGGGCUGGACGAAGGAUUUGUGCUGGCACUAGAAUGGGAAUAGUGCUAGUUGAGUACAUUUUGGGGACGUUGGUACACUCAUUUGACUGGAAAAUGCCGGAUGGAGUUGAGAUCAACAUGGACGAAGCUUUCGGGCUUGCUUUGCAGAAGGCAGUUUCUCUUUCGGCUAUGGUGACACCUAGGCUUCACCAGAGUGCGUAUGCAGUCUGAGCUCAAGCUGUUCAGAUCAAAACCCAGGGCUAGUAACUCUUCAAAAAUUUUGCAUUGAAAAAAAUAGUAGUUUUAAAAUCUGUCUAAAAAAAUUAAGGAUGUGGAAAGUUCUCACGAAUUUCAGUAACUUGGGAAGGGAUUUUCUAGACCAUACCCAUUCCUAUCCACCUCGUCUUGUGACCUUCCGUUUUCUUCUGGUUUUUUAAUUUUCAAAAAUAAUUUUAAAAAACAAUAUUAAAAAAUAAUUUUUAGAAAUAAAAUUCUAUUUUAUAAUUCAAAUUUUAAAAACAAUUUUCAUUUUUUAUAAAGUUAAUUUGUAGUCUAGCAUAACAUUCUUGUUCUUAGAAUAUUGUAAAAAAAAAACCAAUAAAAUAUCUUUAAAUUCUUAUAAAAAAUAUAUUUUAAAUUUUUCUGGAAAAUCUUUCCAGGAUUUUAAUAAUAUUUUUAUAUUUCACUAUUAUUUUAUUUAUCUUAGAAAUACUCAGCUCUAUUCGUUUCUAUUAUACUAAAAUUUACUAUAAUACUUGUCAAAAUAUUUGAAUAUGAUGAUCAUGUCGAAAACAUGAGUCGAUACAUUUCCAAAGUGGAGGACAAAGUGUAUGAGAUGGCAAAUUGUGAUUGGGUGGCAGGUAGUGACGUGGGGUUAAUUUUUAAGUUAAUUAUGCUUAAAGUCUUUACUAAAUAAGAAGAGUAAAUUUUGGUAUUUAAUUAAAUUUAAAAAAUAUAUAAUAAUAUAUUAUAUUGUAUAUAUGUUAAAAAACCAUUAGAGAUGACAACUAGGUAGGGUUGAGAUGAGAUGGGUCACUCCCAUCCUGUCCCCAUCCUGUUUACACAAUUUAAUUUUCAUGUCUUAAUAAAAAAAAUUAAACGGAAGGGGUGUGAGAAUUUUCCAUAUCCACUUGGUCCCAUCCUUUUUAAUUUCUUUUAAAAUUUUAAUUUAAAAAAAUAUUUAAUUACAUUAAAAAUAAAUAUAUUUUAUAAAUAAAGAAAAUAUUAUAAUAUUUUAUAACUUCUUUUAUUAAAAAUAAAUUUUAAAUCAAAGAAAGGGGUAUUUUUAUCCAAUGAGGGUCAUUUUUUUUUUGUCGAGGCACUAUAAGAAAAAGGGCCAACAGUAACACUUCUGCGUUAUUUUCCAACUUGUCAUAAUAUUUGGAUGUGUUCCAUUAUUGAAGCCGAAUGUCUAGGUAAGCAUCUUCUUCACCACCUUGAAGAGCCAGACAUAUCAUCCAAAUGCCCCCAGAAACAAAUGGACUCAACCUUUUAUAUAUUUAUACACUACUCUUAUCCAACAUACUUCCAAAUUGAAUAGCUGGUGAAAUCAAGUAAACCCAACAAUGUCCAUCCAUUCCCAUGUCUCCACACUAUUUCUCCUCAUAGUCUUAAUAUUAUCCGGAUCCAUUGCCAUUAAAGAACAACUGUCUAUGACUUCCAAGGUCAGCUUGGUCAGGUAAGUUAUGAUCCAAAGCUCAAUUUUUCUAACAAUAGUUAGCUUAUAUUUUGGUUCUCAUCCCCUCAAUAAAGACAUGAACAGAUAUACCCAAUUAUUUUCAAUCAAAUUCUUAGAAGGGGAAAAUCUUUUCUCUAGGUGAAGAGCUUGUGUCUUGGAAAUUUCUAUUACUUAUCCUAAGAAGUUUGUGUGUGGUUGUCAGGAAAAGAGAAGUUACUGUUUCAUCUCUAUAGCAUAUUAAAAUGUAGAAAAUUGAAUUCAUUAAUUUUCAAUUUUUUCUCAUUCUACUCAGGGUAAGUGUCCUUGGGAACUUGAAAAUGCAGAAAAGAUUAAAAAAUAAAAAAUAACAGAAUUAGAAUAUGAACAUGUACGUGAAUAUGCACUAUGAUACUACACGCCAAAAAAGACAAAAAGCUUAGACAUGUUUGCUAAAGGACAAGGUGACUAGAGAGUGAAAAAUGUGUAGAGCAUCUAGUCAGGGUCAUCAUUACAAAAAUAAGAAAGGGAAACUUGUGUUUUGAUGGGGCCAUUUGGGAAAUAUAUGGUUUUCGGAAUCCAAUUUUAUGAAAUCUAAAAACCAUCUUUUAAUAUGGAAAGUUAUAUAUUUUUCAUGCACUCUGAGCCGGGUGCAUAUUUUGUGCCGAGAUUGCCCAUUCGGGUAUCCAGGUCAACAACAUCCUAAGGCCAUGUUAGCACGGGCCAAAACAGAACCGCUGAAAAACUCCAAAAUCAAAAUUUGAUCUUCCCAAAAAAACACUCUAGCCGAUGGUUCUUUUUUCCCUUUCUCUCAUUCGAUACCCAUUUCUCUCAUAUUUCUUCACUUUGUCACUGAGGCAAAGCAAAGAACCGUGUAUAGUUUUAAAAAAUUUCUCUCAUUUUAGUUUAGAAGCCCUUAAUCCCAAACUCCAAUCUACACUUUUCUUUCUUCAGCCCCUUCUCCUCUCAAAGUCCUGACCAGUCGUAUCCGAUCGUCCUAAUUUCCUCAUCCCAAACUCCAAUCACCUGUACAUUUUGAUUGAAAUUCUGGUUUAGGCUAGAGAACCAGAAUGGAAAUGACAACUAUGAUAUAUUGGCUUCAUGAAGAAAAAAAUCUCCUCUUCGUGUCAUUAGGUGGAAUUUUGCCCUAACUCCCACAGAAAAUUUUAAGGUAAUUAAUUUUUAUUUAGGGUUGUUUUGAUUUUAUUUUUUUUCAAAUGUAGCACAAGAGCAAUUGUGGAGUGGUAGUUGUAGUUCGAAUUUUGUGUGCUUUGGUGAGGCCAUAGCUUGAGGCGCAUGUGGAUUUUGGACGGCAUGAUCGGAUGGUCAAUCUCUGUCUUUUUGUGGAUUUGAGGCUCAUGAAAUGUAAAAUGAAAGUGGUAAUUUAUUUUUGAUUGUCAAAAGAAUGUUGUGGAGAUAUGUAGAAAUUGGGUAGAAGACCUUUGUUUUUUUUUUACAUUUUUAGACUGAUGGUAAUUAACGAUGACAACAAUUAGGCAAGAUCAUCUUUUGGCAAAAAAAUUCAUAAUUAAAUCAUAUUUGUUGAGACUAAAAAUAAUAAUAACAAUAAUAAUUCAAAUGCAUAAAUUAUGUGCUAGUUAGUAUAAAUUGUUGGUAGUGCUUGUGAAUUUGUAAUGUUUGUUGGAUUGUGAGGGUACAUCUUUUGCAAAUCGUGUGUGGUUUGAUCAAUUGUUUUUCUUUAUUGGGAAUGGUUUCAUUGUUGUAGUCUUUCAGAUUUUCUUUGUAGAAAGACUGAAUUUUAGUGAUGAUAUGAAAUAAAACCAUUAUAAUCUUCUUUGAGCAAUAUUUAAAAUAUUUCAUUAUGAAAUUUUGUAAGCUUGGCUUUCAUUAAUUAUAUCAGAUUAAUCCAUCCAACCAUUAUUAUUUCUCCUUUUUGCGAUAGUAAAAACAUUUUAUCUACAAAGGAAGUGUUUGCAAAUUGAUUUGAUGUUGGAAACAUUUUAUCUUAAUGAACCUUAUGUACUACCCUAAUGCACCUUAGGUACUACCUUAAUGAACCUUAGGUACGACCUUAAUGUACCUCAGGUACUACCUUAAUGCACAUUCGAAAAAUUGUGCUCUUAGGUCACUAAAGACACAAUUCUUUCAUUGCAUUACAUAUUGGAGCAUGACUUUGUUAUGUUGUUAUUGGUAACUCAAUGGUGAGCUUAUGUAAUUAUACCAGGAUCAAGGUACUACCCUACUGCACUUUAGGUACUAUCUUAAUGAACCUGAGGUACUACCUUAAUGUACCUUAGGUACUACUUUAAUGUACCUUAGGUACUACCUUAAUGCACCUUCGAGAAAUGUUGCUCUUCUGUGACUGAAGACACAAUUAUUUCAUUGCAUUAUAGAUUGGAGCAUGGCAUUGUUAUGUUCUUAUUUGUUACUUAAUCGGUAGCUUAUGUAAUCAUAACAAAUUUAAGGUACUACCUUAAUGCACCUUAGGUACGAUCUUAAUGAACCUGAGGUACUAUCUUAAUGCACCUUCGAGAAAUGUUGCUCUUCUAUGGCUAAAGAGACAAUUAUUUCAUUGCAUUACAGAUUAGAGCAUGGCAUUGUUAUGUUCUUAUUGGUUACUCAAUCGAUAGCUUAUGUAAUCAUAACAAAUUUAAGGUACUACCUUAAUGCGCCUUAGGUACGACCUUAAUGAACCUGAGGUACUACCUUAAUGUACCUCAGGUACUACCUUAAUGCACCUUCAAGAAAUGUUGCUCUUUUGUGACUAAAGACACAAUUAUUUCAUUGCAGUACAGAUUGGAGCAUGGCAUUGUUAUGUUCUUAUUGGUUACUCAAUUGGUAGUUUAUGCAAUCAUAACAAAUUUAAGGUACUACCUUAAUGCAUCUUAGGUACGACCAUAAUGAACCUGAGGUACUACCUUAAUGUACCUCGGGUACUACCUUAAUGCACCUUCGAGAAAUGUUGCUUUUCUGUGAUUGAAGACACAAUUAUUUCAUUGUAGUACAGAUUGGAGCAUGGCAUUGUUAUUUUCUUAUUGUUACUCAAUCGACAGCUUAUAUAAUCAUAAAAAAUUUAAGGUACUACCUUAAUGCACCUUAGGUACGACUUUAAUGAACAUGAGGUACUACCUUAAUGCACAUUCUAGAAAUGUUACUUUUCUGUGAUUGAAGACACAAUUAUUUCAUUGCAUUACAGAUUAGAGCAUGACAUUGUUAUGUUCUUAACCUCUUGGAUGAAUAUUUUCAGAUUUAUGCACAAUCUUCUAAGCAUAAGUCAUUUGUUAUUGUAUGGUGUCUCAUAUUAAUUUUUCAAUUGUCACCUUGUAAUUUAAUUGUUAGUGUAUGGUUUAAAAUUUAUGAUCACAUAUUCAGAUUUUUAAAUCUACAACCGUGUGCUAUCAUCUCUAUUUUGAAACUGCAUUUGAUAGACUCAUUCUUGCUAUUGAAAUAUGCAAGUUCUGAUAUAUGCUUUGCAUUCUUCAUCUCUUAUCCGAAUUAAGGAUGACAUGUGAGUGGACCUUCACCAGAUGGUGCAUACACCUCGAUGGUGUCUUACUUUUAGACAUCUCCUUGGCAAUGUAGUGAAUUAGUGUUACUGUGAUGUGUUGCUUAUGAUAUUCUGGAUGGUGUCUUAUGAUAGUCCACCAUGCUUGUGUUUGGAAAAAUAUAAACUUAUGGUCUUAUCUACCUUAUCAAGUUGUACACGGUAUUUAUAGUUGGUUUAUUUCUAAAUUUAUACGGUGCAUCAUAUAAUGUCCCUGAUUUUUGUGUGCAGGACUUCGAAGUUGAUGAACUCUCACAAAUAUUUCUUUUUGUAUCAGAAUUUCUAGAUUGUAUGAAGUAAAGGAUGACCGACCUACAGAUGCAUUUUGGAACCCUCUUUACCCCUUGCAAUGGAGGAUGUUGUUCCUUUAAGAGAGCGAGUGGCAGCCCUUGAAGAUUAACAUCAGGAUUCUCAUAUCCCAAAUGAUGUUAAGUUAGGGCUUGGGUGAUUAGGAGAGAUUUCCAUCAUUAGUAAGAGCUCAACCAAAUAUGAAGAAGAUGAGGAAAUACCACAUAAAAAAGAAGAGGAAUCUAGUCACUAAGGCUGAAGCCUAAUAGAUCAGGAUUUUAAGGCCGUAGAAGAGGAAUAGGGAGAGGAAGCGGAAGGAGUGGCAUUUUGGCUCAAUCUAGAAUUUCAUUUGGGCUGAAUCCAGUCAUUUUGGUUGCACAUUCAUGUCCACCGUCUUUGGCAUCAGAAGAGGAGCUCAUGAUGAAGACAACAAAAUUAUGGAUGGUUCAGAUUUGGCCUAUUUUAGUAGUUAUGUUCAAUUAUUUUAAAAAGUCUCUAUUAUUAGUGUCUUGAGUUCACAACUAAUGGGACUUCGGAUUCUCUUUGUUGGAAGAUUACUUGAUGACCGAUUCUUAAAAUAAAUCCAAUUCAUAACAAGCAAUUCAAAUAUAUAACAUUGCUUAUUAUUAAUCUAAUUAUUAUUAUUAUUAUUAUUAUUAUUAUUAUUAUUAUUAUUAUUAGUAUUAUUACUACCUUUGUUGAUAAUCAAAUGUAGUUUUUUAAAAACCCCACAAAAUGAUGCGCAAAAUGAAUAGUUGACAAUUUGUGGGAAGUGCAUUCUCAUCAUAUCCAGGCAAGGUUGCCACAUUAAUAUGCCAUCACACAACCCUGUUGAACCCAAUAUCUGAUAUCAAACCUAAAGAUUUCUCUUUCUUUUCCUAAGAUGAUUUAAUAAGAUUCUUAUUAAAUAAAAGAAAAAAAACUCGUGAUAGGAAGAAAUUCAUCCACAUGCUUAAGGUCAUCUCAGCACCUUAUAAUCUCAUAAAAUCACCAGUGCCACUACUCUUGAAUGUUUCCUUACGAAUACCAACCAAUGUCUUCACCAUCACCCAUGAGACCUGAAUUUGUCACCAUGGUUUAGAGCAUUCAGUUUCAAAACCAUGGUCCUUUUAUUUUAACUACAGUUGUAGAGGCCACUAGCAUGGAAUAGAACAUUCAAAUAUGGAAAACAUAUUUAAGAAAUGCAUGAUCUUCAUUUAGAUUUCCUCACUAAAAUGAAACACAAACAUAGUCCAUGGAAUUUGUACCUCAACAUAAUUAUUAUACCAUAGUCAACAAACCAAAGAAACCUCCAAACUACCAAAAACCUUGAUAGAAAUUGCUAUAUAAAACCUUACACACCAACUAAUUAUGAAAGGAAUACCCAUAAACAAGGUACUACACUGACCAUAGAAGGAUAAACUGAAAGAUGAUCAAGUUAGAAACAGAAAUUUCUAGUCUUUGUGUCUCAUUUUCCUAUUAAAUUAUUAUUUUUUCCGAUAAAAAUGUUGUCACUUUGGAUCACAAUUGAAAAACUAAUAUGUUGUCGAAUCAGUCACUAAUGCACCACGGACGCGCACCUUUCAUCAACAUAACAAAUUAUCACCUAUUUACUUUUCUCCAUGUUCUUCCUUCCUUUCCAACACAUUAUUUCACAUUAAUCAACAACCCUAUUACAAUCAUGAAUAUCCUCACUUGAAGAGGAUUGAAUAAUUGAUUUAUCAGUGUACUAAUUUUGAUCAUAUGGAAAGAUGAGUUUGCUUGAUACAAUGUGAAGAAGGAAGAUAACAUAUGACCCAGUCUGAGAUUUCUCCCUCUCGUAGGCUAUAGCACCAACAUCACCAGGAAGUCUUUGUUUUCCUUAUGCAUUGUCCAUUGAUGUACAUAAACUCCUGACAAUCACUAUGACCAAAAUCCCAUUGUUACAAUGAUUAGUGACAAACAGAUAUAGAACACAAAUAAUGGUUUUACAAUGGGAAGAAAACCACAUUAGCACACAAGAUAACUAUUCAGUCAUUUUUGGACAAACUACAAUCAAGCAUUGCUUUAUAGAGUUAGUAGCAUCAAUUAGGAAAAUACUUAUCAUCAACCAUCAGUCCCAAUUGAUAGGAGUCUAUAAUUUUAUCUCUGACGUUGUUCCGUUCAUUGAGCAGUAACUUCACAACUAGCUGGAGUCGGUACAUGUGCAUCUUGUCCUACAGAAAUCAGAACAACUGAUUUCAUGUUAUUGGAUAAAAUAAAAAGAUAAAUAGUACAAAUUAGGGUGUAAACCAGCUGUAACCUCUACCAAUGAAGUACUUAAGGUUGCCUAAUUCCAAAAUUUCAUGAACUUAAGAGCGAUUAUACCAUAUUCGUACCUAUAACACAUCACACUUAGGCUUGUCAUGUAGAUGAUUGAAACAUGAGAAAUAUAAUUAAAUGCAAAUGACUUUAUUGGUUAGAAUAUAUGAAUCUUUUACCCAUUAAGUUGUUGGACAAGAUGUGGUUGCACAUACACAAAUUUUGAGACAUCCAGGUCCAUGUGAAUUCCAUGUGCAUGCAGUGCUUUAUGGAUAGCCACUGAUAAUCCCUUGGUUGAUGCACUAAUGUUGUUUCCCCGCUGCAAUGGCAAAAAUGAAAGGAUCUCAACUCGUCCAACUAAAAGUUAACCACGUGUUUGUACCAGUGAUUGUUUUCACAUACAAGGAUAAACAAUUACAUGUUCAUUAUAGAGUUAUUAGGUUUUACGUUAUUAGAUAAUAGUCAUGGCAAAUGUCAUUGCAUAUAUUAUUAAGGAAAGUAACUUUAACAAGCAUUAUUUACCAUAUCACAUGUCCCCAGAUCAUGGCCCAAUAUGUCAGCAUCUACAUACAUGCGACAUCUAUCCAUGAUGACCUGGCUGGUUGCAUUUGCUUUCAGAUUGUUGAGAACAACUUAUUCAAGGAUGAGAUUAAUCAAUAAAAACAUUGACUCAUGCCCAAUUGGUGUCUCAGCUGAUUUGUGUUCAGCUGGUGCUCCUUGAUUGAGGAAGUGAUCAACAAAAUUUAUACCUAUAACACCAUACACUAGGGUAGCAAAUACAAAGCUACUAUAGUAUAGUGGCUCUAAGGAUCGUUCACUGGGAAUGAAUAAAUUAACAAGCAGUCAAGGAUACCAAUUCCAAGUGAAUUGGUUUUGUUUCAUUUCACGGUUAGCUUAAGGAAUAAAACACAAACUUUGAUUUGUAAAGGUUGAGAUUUAAACUAACUAACUUAACAGAAGUUUGGAAUAAUUUAGGAAGAAAAGCAUUCCUUGGAGAUUUAGGUUCACUGGGGUGGUUCCUCAUGCAAAAGACAAAGCUCCGGUCAGAUGGUUCAUUUCCUCGCAUUAGAGAUUCAACUUAUAGUCAAUUCUCUAACCGGUGAUGUACAGAGACUCCUUCAAUUAGAUUUCACUUUAAUUCUCUCACUGAUGCAACUUGCAAUGGUUCAUGCCUCUCACGAGCACUUACCAUUCAAGGUGAUCUUUAACCUUGGAUUCCCCUUCACAAACUCGCAAGAGAUAACUAAUGGAUGUCUCCUAGAGUCCAAAAGGUUACCAAGUGUUGGUAAUUCCAGAAAAUCCUACCUUGAAGUCACCUACCAGAGGCUCGCAGGGGUAAACUAGUGCAUNNNNNNNNNNNNNNNNNNNNNNNNNNNNNNNNNNNNNNNNNNNNGCUCCAAAAGUGGCUGCUACGACUGUCAUCAAGAAUAGGCUUCAUGACAGAUUCUCUUUGCUUUUUCUCCUUGCAAUCCGGAUUCACUCUUGGCAAUUGAAUUCUCAACUUUGCCCAUGAUUCCUCAUAGCUCUCCUCAAUCUUGACUUGCUUUGGUGAUCAAAAUACUAACAAAAACACCAAAACUUACACAAAGUGAUCAAAAUUGCUUUAAAGGAUCCUUAACAUGUCAAUUGAGUUAAAAGGCCUAAACUACUACUCAAAAGUGUUAAAAAGGAUUAAUUAAAGGCUAUCAAAUAGCACUUUUUGAGUAGUAAUCACUCCCCCCAACCGACAUAUUGCUAGUCCCUUAGCAAUAUAGGAGAGAAAAUAAAAAAUAAAUAGCUAAUUAUACUAAAAUUUACAACAUCAUGCUAAAAGGAAAUAAUUCUCAAGUGGCAUGAUGAUCUAAUUCUCUCAUGAAUCAUUAAAGAAAUACAAACCCAAAUCUCAACAAGAGUCAUAACAAACUAUGCUAGGCACUGUUAAUCAAGGGAGUGCAUUAUGCAAACUGAAGUUUUAAAAUCAUUUCCCCUUUUAAGAACUAAACUUCAAUCUUCCACAAAAAUCUAUGUGUAUUGGUUCCUUAGCUUCCGAGAAUAAUAUGCUACUAAUCUCACCCCCCAACCUAUCUCUUUUCAACACUUUAGCAAACUGACCAAAAUCAAUAAGAAAAGAACACACUUUCAUCUUCUUUUUUCUUCUUUUUUUUUUUUUUUUUUUUUUUUUUUUUUUUUUUUUUCAAGGUAGCUUUAUGGGGUACUCUUUCUGACUUGUCCAUGUAAUGGGGGUCCAUCGAUGACUCCCAACCAAUUAAGGUUUAGGGCACCAAGUUUUAAGGAUCUUUCAACCACUAACUCCUCGGAUUUUUCCCCGGACUUUUAAGAAUGAAUUUCUAAUACCCAAACAUCUACCAUAUGCUAACUCUACCUAUUCACCCUUGUAACGAGCAUUGAGGUCGGUGACUCCCAACCAAUUAAGGCUUAGGGCACCAGGCUUUAAAAGCUUUCACCAUAUACCCCUCAGACCUUGCUCGGGUUUCAAGGCAAGCAAAACAACUUUCUUUAUUUCAAAGGCUCAUUGGCCUUUUGCAGGGNNNNNNNNNNNNNNNNNNNNNNNNNNNNNNNNNNNNNNNNNNNNNNNNNNNNNNNNNNNNNNNNNNNNNNNNNNNNNNNNNNNNNNNNNNNNNNNNNNNNUUCCCCGGACUUUUAAGAAUGAAUUUCUAAUACCCAAACAUCUACCAUAUGCUAACUCUACCUAUUCACCCUUGUAACGAGCAUUGAGGUCGGUGACUCCCAACCAAUUAAGGCUUAGGGCACCAGGCUUUAAAAGCUUUCACCAUAUACCCCUCAGACCUUGCUCGGGUUUCAAGGCAAGCAAACAACUUUCUUUAUUUCAAAGGCUCAUUGGCCUUUUGCAGGGUGUUUCAAUUUUUAUCAACUGAGGUCAAAUAUACCAAGUCCCAAAAUUAUCCUAAGUCAAGAGGGAAAUAGCUUUUCAUCUUAUAAUCGGAAACUAAUGUGCACAGUGUGUGGAUAGCUUAAAGUAGAAGAACUCAAUUCAAUUUCAGUAGAAGUUUCAACAAUUGGACCACUUUAGUAAGCAUAAUCCAUACUCUAAGUCAAGUGAAAAACAACAGUUCAAUUUCUCUUGGUUUAAUUUGAAAAUUUUUCCUCAAAAUUCAUGGAGAAUAGAGUAACACUAGUAAAAAGUAAAAUCUACAACUAAUUAACCAAUAUAAUUGCAAUACCAAAAAGGUUUAGAAUACUUCCUUCCUCAUACCCCCCAACCGAACUGAGCAUUGUCCUCAAUGUGAUUUGAGUGACUGUAAUAAAAGGGAGGAAGUGGUACCUCCAUGCUGAUAUCAAAUUCGAAUAUUGAUUGGGGAAAACCACAUGUUUCAAAAAGAAUAGAAUAUGUGAGAAAAGGAAAUAAGGAAACUUUAAUGCUAACUUUUAACAAGAAAUAGUCAACUUGUAUUACUUUGAGUUCAUUUGAUUACAAUGCUAAAGACAAGUAAUACAAGGAAUCCCAUAUAUAGUACCAAAAUACUGGGAUUUCUUUUCAACUAAAACAAAACAAACAUGCAUAAAAACAUAAACAGCAAAUAUAUAUAUAAUGUCUGAUGAGUGGGGUGAUGGUGCUAGGCAGAAGGAUCUGCCUCCUCAGUAGGUGGAUCAGCUGGGGCUUCGGGCUCUGGAGGAUGAGACUCUGAAGGCUGAGAGUGUGGCUCUGGUGGAGUCUCAGUGGAGGGCUCUACAGCUUGUGGCAGAUCGAAAUGGACUUGAAGCUGCCUUAGGAUGGCAGCUUGUUGAGCCUGAGAGGCUAACAUCUGCUCCUGGCAUGCUUUGAUGGCUGCCAACUCCUGAGCAAGAUUGCUCUGGGAAGCUGUAAGAGUCUCCAAUGCACGGCAAAGCUCUCGAUAUUCGGAUAUAGGGAUGGCCAUCCUCGGCUCAGCUGAUGUGGAUGGCUGUGAUGGAGCAGGUGCAGCUGGUGGAGCUCGAGGGAUGGCAGGAGUAGCAAGUGUAAUACCUUCAGGUGGAUGUCUUGGGGAGGCUCUCCUUGCUGCUGAAUGAGGCUGCCCAGGCUGAUCAAUUUUGUAGGCCGUCAUAUUAUUCCAUUUAUCAAGGGUAAAUGGCUCACGGCAUAUUCUCUUUCUUUCCUGCUGAGGCUCAGAGGGGUAUCCGAGAUGCUCCAAAACUUGGCAUAGCAGCCUUGGGAAGAGGAGUGGAAUGCAAUCUGCUCUUUGAAGCUUCUUCUUGUGAACCUUCUCCUCAAAGUAUAGAAGGGCUGCCAUGAUCAGAUGAUGAGGCCCAAAGAAGAAUCCUUCAGACAUCUUGUAUAGAGCUUCCAAGAGAACUCCCCUUCUUUGGGUCCAAUGCUGCAGGGGAUAGAUAUUAUGCCUCAAAAAGGCAUCAAUCAAAAACAUAACUGGAGGUAGCUCCCCCCUCAACAAAUGCGAUCGAUUUGCAGCUCCUCUGGUUAGUGUGCGAACCAUCUCUAACUCAGUAGGAUUUACCCAAGCCUUAAAAUUGUCGAAUUGGGUUGGCUCAAAAGGAAUUUGCAAAGCUUCAGCAAUAUGUCUUGCUCCCAAAAUACCAUGCCUUCCAUCAAUUAUAAAAUGAAUCAGAGUUGGAUUUCUUACUUCUUUGGUUGUCAUGGUCUGGUAGAAGUCCGUGACUACCCGAGGAUAGAAAAAAUCCCUUGGAGCUAGCAGAUGCUCCAUAUGAUAUCUCCUCAGCAGCUGGAAGGAUUGGGCAAGCUCUGGCCUCACUCUGAAUGCUGCUAAGUCGAAGCAAAGCUCAGAGUGGAAUGCCCGAGUUCGACAAUCCAAGUUUCCUUCGAUUGGGGGCUGGGGCAGCAUUGGCCUUCGGAUCACUUCUUCCAGAGGUGCUUCAGCUGCAAUUUGGGGCUCUGGAAUUGGCGCUUGAGGCUCCUGAGGUUUUUCUUGGGGCGCCGGAGAUGGUACCGGCGAUGGAAUUGGAGUUGCUUCAGGUGAGGGAAUUAGCGAGGGAACCGGUGACGGCACUGGAAUUUGUACCGGUGAAGGAUUUGGUGAUUUCUCAGGGGAUUGCUCAGUCAAAUCAAUUGGUUCAGAGCUCUCAACCCUGGUUUUCUUCUUCAAUGGCUGACCACCUGACCUGGUUAAAUAUCGCCUUACCGGCGGCUUUGGUGGCGCCGGCUUCACUGGAAGAGGGUUUGGUCUUGACGGCGAAGGCUGUGGAGCAGGUUCUGGAAUAGAGCCUGGACUUGGCUCCUUUCGCAGACUCCUUUUGCGGUUCGAAGGAGAUGAAGAUUUUGCUCCUCGCGUUCGUGCCAUUUUUGGGCUAUCGAUCUUUGGCCGGCGUUGCUAAGCGGAGAAGACGACCGGAGAAACGGACGGCGUGGCUUGGCGAAGAAGAUGAAGGGGCUGCGAGAAUGGUGCUCUGAUUUUUGAAACCCUUUUCGCAGCACUUUUGACCGGUAUAAAUAGGAAAAACGGAAGCCCAGGGGUCAGAUUACGUUUCGCAACAAAACGCCAAUUUCGCAGCAACUUGCCAUUUUCGCAGCAACUUCGCAGUGAGUUUCGCAGCUGCGAAAUUGAUGUCACUGUGCUGCGGAGUGGCACUCGUGUGCCAAAUCCACUUUCGCAAUUGCGAAAUGCCCUGCGGAAUGGGACUUUUGGUGCGAAAUCAUGCUUUUCCAUUUCGCAAUGAGUUUCGCAGCUGCCAAAUUGAUGCCACUGUUCUGCGAAGUGGCACUCGUGUGCCAAAUCCACUUUCGCAAUUGCGAAAUACACUCGCAGAGGCUUCUACAGUGCUGCGGAAUGGUUUGGCAGCAAAAUGCUCUUUUCGCAGAGGUUUCCUUCACUCUGCGAAAUUUCGCAGAGCUCUGUUUUUUCCCUGUUUUUGCUCUGUUUCGGCUCCAAUUUCGACCCGAUUUUUUUUCUUUCAAUCCCCUUGAAAUUUCUUCCACCUGGGAUCAUAUAACAUGAUUAAAACACACCUAAAAACAUGAUUUAAGAUCAAAAACUAAGAUCAAAAGCAUGGAAAAAAACUUGAAAAUUUACAAAAUUUACAAAAAUUUUGGACUGUGGUAAAACCACGCCCAGCAAACCCAUUUUCACUUAAGCUUUUUGAGGCUCAAGGAGGUUGAUUGCCUCCUUUUCUGAUUUGAAUGACUCCAUGAAUGGCUUAAGACGAUAUCCAUUGACUCUAAAGCUAUCCUUGCCAUUGGAAUUCAAUAAGUCCACCACUCCAUUGGAAUAUACUCGGUGAAUAACAAAUGGACCAAUCCACCUUGACUUGAGCUUCCCAGGAAAGAUAUGGAGUCUUGUGUCAUACAUCAGAACUUUUUGCCCUUCCUGAUUCAGUUUGCCCGGAUCCCAUUUGAAGCUUGCAUCCUUCACUUGAGACUUGGUUUGAGAUGAAGAUAUUACGACAGGACAUUGAUUAUUUUCUUCAAGGUAUGUGUAUUUCAGCUCCACAGGUAAAUGCUUCAGAUUGAGUUUUGGAAUUUCUUUUUCAACAGCUGCCUCCUCUUCUUCAUUGAACAGAGGUAGAAUUCCUUCUAUCUUUCUCCAACUGUGUAGAGUAGCAAGCCCAAUAGGAGAUUCAGAAAAACCUUCCUCAAUAUCCUCAAGACUUUCACUCAACUUGUCUUGCAUAUGCUGAUUGCAGUGCUCCUCCACCAAAGUAUCAAUAAUACAUAGCUCUUCUGGACCCUCUUCUUCUUCUGGAGUGAUUUGCUUUUUAGACAUAUAGAAAAUAUUUAGAUCCAGUGUCAUGUUACCAAAAGUGAGUUGCAUAAGCCCAUUUCUACAGUUGAUGAUUGCAUUUGAAGUUGCAAGAAAUGGCCUUCCAAGGAUGAUAGGAACUAAAUUAGCUUCCUUUACAGUAGGAUCUGUAUCAAGAACAACAAAAUCUACAGGAUAGUAGAAAUUAUCUACUUGAACCAAUACAUCCUCAAUUACUCCUCUUGGAAUUUUCACUGAUCUAUCUGCCAGAGAUAAAGUGAUUGCUGUUGGCUUCAACUCUCCAAGUCCCAAUUGCUUGUAGACAGAAUAUGGAAGCAAAUUCACACUUGCUCCCAAGUCUAACAAGGCUUUUUCCACUACCUUUCCUCCAAUCAUGACUGAAAUGGUAGGACUUCCAGGGUCUUUAUACUUCAAAGGAGACUUACACUGUAAGAUUGCACUUACUUGCUCAGUCAAGAAGGCUUUCUUGUUUACAGUCAACCCUCUUUUGAUAGUACACAAGUCCUUUAGGAAUUUUGCAUACGUUGGAACUUGUUUGAUCAUAUCCAGCAAUGGAAUAUUAACUUUCACUUGCCUCAAUACUUCUAGGAUUUCAGCUGCAUUUCUAACCCUCUUUUUCCCCUGUAAUGCUUGAGGAAAAGGUGGAAAAGUUGAUUUCUUCAGCAUUUCUUCCUUCAGAAGCUCCUUCUCUGGAAUUACUUUCAUUGUUGCAUCAGAGUCCUUCUUUUCUUCACUGAUCUCACUGCCUUUAUCUUCCAUUUCCUUCCCUUUCUUCAUCUCUUCUUCUUUCUCAACAUGUGGCUUGGGUGUUGGCUGCUCAAUUUUCUUACCACUCCUUAGAGUGAUCAAAGCUUUCACAUCUUUCACCUGUGAUGAUUCUCCCUCAUGGCUUUCCACUUCAUGGACACCUUUGGGAUUUUGGUUAGGUUGAGAAGGAAAUCUUCCCUUUUCUUGCAGUGUAUUCAAAUUUGUAAGCCUGGAGAUUGAAUAUUGGAUGUUAUCAAAUUUUUUAUUCAUGUCAUUUUGCAUUCCAUCCAUUCUUUUGUUCAACAUACUCUCCAUUCUGUCCAUUCUUUGAUCCACUCUGUCCAUUCUUUGAUCCACUCGAGCAUUGGUGGCUUCUUGCUUUCCCACAAAAUCUCCCACUACCUUGCUGAGAUUAGCUAUUAUUUGUUCAAUACUUGAAGAUUGCUGAGAUGGUGGAUCCGGCUGUUGGUAUUGAGUUGCUCUGGCCUUCCAUGAGAAAUUUGGAUGAUUCCUCCAACUUGAAUUGUAGGUAUUUCCAUAAGGAGCAUUGUUAUUGGGCCUGAAUUGUCCAACAACAUUUGCUUGAUCUCUAUACAUUUCCCUUUCAACUGAAAUUGCAGGGCAUUCCUCUACCAAAUGUUCAAACGAUUGACAAUUGGGACACAACUUCACUUGCACUGGUGCUUCAGCAACAGCUUGCACUUCAUGUAUUCUUUUCAGCUCCAGCUCCUCCAAUCUUCUUGUCAUCGCUGCCAACUUUGCUUUCAUGUCAUCAUCUUCCCUCAAAUUAUACAUCCCAGCCUUUGCAUUGUAAGCAUUCAACUGAGACUUCAUCUUUCCCACUUCUCCUUUGGUUGGUUCAUCCCAUCCCCUUGAAACAUCAGCUACAUAGCUCAAGAAAUCCAUAGCUUCCUCUGGAUUUUUGCUCAUGAAAUCUCCUCCACACAUUGUCUCGAGGAGUUGCUUCAUUGAGGAGGACAUACCAUCAUAAAAAUAGCUCACCAAUAGCCAAGUAUCAAAGCCAUGGUGAGGACAAGCAUUUAUAGCUUCCAUGUAUCUUUCCCAACACUCAUAGAAUUUCUCAUUCUCUUUAGCUGAGAAGUUUGAAAUUUGCCUUUUCAAGCCAUUUGUUCUAUGAGUAGGAAAAAAUUUCUUAAGGAACUCAGCUUGUAAAUCAGUCCAAGAGCGGAUACUCCUUGGCCUUAAAGAAUUAAGCCAAAUUUUGGCCUUAUCCUUUAAAGUAAAAGGAAAUAACUUAAGCCUCAUCAAGUCAAUUGAAGCUCCUCCCUCUUGGAAUGUAUUACAAACAUCUUCAAAUUCCUUGAUGUGUGCAUACGGAUUCUCACUUUCCAUCCCAUGGAAAGUUGGUAGAAGUGGAACAAGAUAUGGUCUGAUCACUAGCUGCUCUGUAGGGGGCACUAUACAUGAUGGUGCACUCAUACGAGGUGGAUGCAUACGGUCCCUCAUUGAUCUGAAUUCAUUGAGAUUGUCUUGACGACCUUGGUGACUAUGCUGAUCUUCAGGUGCAGCCUCCAUGAUAUUCAAGAUUACUUCAAAUUCUCCUCUCUGAGGUGUAUCACACUUAAUAAGCCUGCCUCCAAUGUCUCGUAUCCACUUUGGCAUACACAACUAGUAUUCAGCUGCAACUUAAAUAAAAACAGAGGACAACAAGAAAAACAGGGCUACAACAGCAAAAUUAAACUAGACUAAAUUUAAAAAAGAUAAACUUAGAUUGUAAAUAAACAAAGAGAGAAUGAAAAUUAGUAAAGUGAAAGAAACUUUACCAACUUGUGAUGAAAAUCACAAGUGCUCAAAAAUGGUAUCACAAUGAUCUUGACACUCAUUCCCCGGCAACGGCGCCAUUUGACUCAUGCCCAAUUGGUGUCUCAGCUGAUUUGUGUUCAGCUGGUGCUCCUUGAUUGAGGAAGUGAUCAACAAAAUUUAUACCUAUAACACCAUACACUAGGGUAGCAAAUACAAAGCUACUAUAGUAUAGUGGCUCUAAGGAUCGUUCACUGGGAAUGAAUAAAUUAACAAGCAGUCAAGGAUACCAAUUCCAAGUGAAUUGGUUUUGUUUCAUUUCACGGUUAGCUUAAGGAAUAAAACACAAACUUUGAUUUGUAAAGGUUGAGAUUUAAACUAACUAACUUAACAGAAGUUUGGAAUAAUUUAGGAAGAAAAGCAUUCCUUGGAGAUUUAGGUUCACUGGGGUGGUUCCUCAUGCAAAAGACAAAGCUCCGGUCAGAUGGUUCAUUUCCUCGCAUUAGAGAUUCAACUUAUAGUCAAUUCUCUAACCGGUGAUGUACAGAGACUCCUUCAAUUAGAUUUCACUUUAAUUCUCUCACUGAUGCAACUUGCAAUGGUUCAUGCCUCUCACGAGCACUUACCAUUCAAGGUGAUCUUUAACCUUGGAUUCCCCUUCACAAACUCGCAAGAGAUAACUAAUGGAUGUCUCCUAGGAGUCCAAAAGGUUACCAAGUGUUGGUAAUUCCAGAAAAUCCUACCUUGAAGUCACCUACCAGAGGCUCGCAAGGGGUAAACUAGUGCAUUCCCACGGUUGGAAAUCACUUGCCUUACCAAGUGUUGGCCCAGGUGACUCCAAGAUGUUUUAAGUUAACUAAAAACAUUGAAAUCACUAAAGGAUUUCACUUCCUCUUCAUUAAAAACUAAAACCACAAAGCUUUGCAUUCUUGCACUUGGAACCUUCCCCGGCACCCUUAGCUCCAAGGAAUUGGAGGUUUAGUUACUCAUUCUCUGGGGAAAACUCCUCAGAGAAUUCAUAACUUAGAAAUAAAAUGAAAAUACAAAGUGAGAAGGAAAGGCAGUAGAAAGAAAAGACCUUUACUUGCUUCCAAAAUGGUUAUAGAAGGAACUCCUCCCUGAGAACAGGCUCCCGAGAGGUAUUUAUAGCAAACUAAUAUAAAACUAAUUCUUACAAAGAUAUUUGGUCUUUUUACUAACUUAAAAACUAAGGAAUCAUGUAAUUGGUGGUUUACAAGGAGUAUUUUGGGAUUUAGACAACAAAAAUCUAAUGGAAAAUAUCUCCCAAUGUCGGUAGCAAGCUUCGGGAGGCUUCCGGAGCCAUUUCGCAGGAGAAAAGUGAGGUCUGCGAAAUUUCGCAGACACCCAAGAGGGCUGCGAAAUUAUUUCGCAAGACCAAGAUAUCUUCACCAGGCUGCAAAGUUGGCUUCCAUCUUGAAGUUUCCAGCUCCCUUCUCGCGGCAUGGUUCGUGCAUCGUUAGAAGGAGAAACACCUUACUGUACAAAAGUGUUGCGAAAUUCUCGCAACAAAAGGCUGAUUCCGCAACACUUCAGAGUGACUGGCUUGUAAUGGCUGCAACUUCUUCGUUUCAACUCCAAAUUGCACACCGUUUGAAGCAUUGGAUUGUUGACUUCCUGAGCUUUGAAAUGGUAUAUAGCUUGCAUCAUUUGGACUUCAGAAAGUGCUCCAAAAGUGGCUGCUACGACUGUCAUCAAGAAUAGGCUUCAUGACAGAUUCUCUUUGCUUUUUCUCCUUGCAAUCCGGAUUCACUCUUGGCAAUUGAAUUCUCAACUUUGCCCAUGAUUCCUCAUAGCUCUCCUCAAUCUUGACUUGCUUUGGUGAUCAAAAUACUAACAAAAACACCAAAACUUACACAAAGUGAUCAAAAUUGCUUUAAAGGAUCCUUAACAUGUCAAUUGAGUUAAAAGGCCUAAACUACUACUCAAAAGUGUUAAAAAGGAUUAAUUAAAGGCUAUCAAAUAGCACUUUUUGAGUAGUAAUCAAACAUCAACAAAUACUAUUCUAUUUUGACACCAUCUAAAUUUAGGAUAUUAGAGGGUCCACCGAGAACGAAGGAUCAAAAUAGUGUGCUCACGCUGGUGGUGCUUGCCGUCCAUUCAAUAUGCGGGACAUAAUCACCAUAAUCUGAAAAAGUUGUGGAAAUGCACAUAUUUUACAACCUCAAUCUACACUUUAUGCAUUCAUAUUACCUAUUAAUUGGGAAUUCAAUUCAGCUAAAGGAUAAGUAACUUACCACAGAAUUAACCCACCACCUUACAUUUAGACAAGACAUUUCUUCCCGGGUAAUGUACAUUCCAUACAUCUUGCACAAACUCUCACUACAAUGAUUGAAAAGGAUUUUUGUCAUGUGGAUGUCAAGUUAUUCACAUAUUAUAUCACUGUAACAAUCAUUGGUACAAAAAAUAAAUGUACUUAGGAUCACCAUUUUAUGCCAAUGCGCAAUCCGCUAUUACCCCAUCAACAUGAGGGAUUUUAGGGAAUUGUUUAACGCAUUGCAUGACAAACGGGCUUUUGCAAGUGGGAGAAUGCUUGACAAUCCUCUUAGCAGUCCGCUUAAAUCUCCUCAUAGAUGAAGGUCUAACUAAUUGGCUGCCACUUCCACCUACCCCAUCAUUUUCCAGCACUUUUUCUAUUCUCAAUUCUAAUGGAAGCGAUGACUCUGCAUGAAACUGUGGGGGCAGUGAUUGGGAAUUAGUGGCUGCUGGUGAUGCUUCCAUUCCAAUUGGUGAGUGGGGAGUUGGUGUGAGGCUAUCUUGUGGUAUCAUUUCUUCAGCUGAAGGCUGCUUGUCCGAUGUCUCAUGCCUUGGUUGAUAUUCAGCUGGCUGCACUGUCUAUGGGCAAGGGAUUGAAGAAGUCCUGUCUGAUCCACAUCGUCGGGAACGUAAUGCAACAACAUCCCGCGCCAAAGAGGAAGCUAAUUCUCAACAUAGUCUCUAAUGUCUCGAUGAGACAAGCUUCAAGUACCUAUUACAUAGUGGAAAAUUUUAUAUACUUGUAUUCAUUGUAUGGAAGAACUGGUAUACGUGGUGAGUGAGCAUGUACUAUCUCGGUAGCAUUGUCAGAAGUUGAGGAUGUCAAAGCUACUGAUGGUACAUUCAAGUGGGGUGUGCUUUUCUGGUUGCUUUUGUGCCUACAUGUUGCAUCAACAGUUCAAUGAGAUUAUAAACAAAUUGGUUAUUAGUUGAAUAAGCUAAUAUUGUUUAUAAAAUGUAAGGAAAUAUUUGUUAAGUUAGCGCAUACAUGCACAUGUCCAUAAGCACCGAAUGUUGAUAUUUUAGCUGCUAAUCGACAUUUGAUUACUUCAUCACUCUAAGCGACAGCUAGCGGGCUGGUAACUUCAACCUUUAUUGAUGGCAUGUAGAAGUAUGCCAUGUAGAACAACUGUGCAAGGGUAGUAUAUGAGACGAGGAACAUUAAAAAAGAAAAUUGCAGUAAGCAUGACAUUCAAAUUAAAAUGUAAACUAAGUUCAUCCUAAUUACAUAAUGUACUAGAGCCUUUAUUGUACCUGUAGGAACAUGAGACAGCCUUGGAUGUAAGUAGGAUGAUUUUUGCAAUAAUCCCUGAUUCCAUCCUCUAAGUAUUGGAACACAAACUUGGCCCAAUUCCUUUGGACACCAACAUCACCAUCCCAAAUGGUGUCCUAAAGGUCAUAGAUCCCUCCAAGCUUUGAGUUUAGUGCUAGCAUAGUGGCACAUGAAAAAAAUUAAAAAUGAUUUUUAAGAAUUCAUCACAAACUAGCAGAUUCUCAAGGUUUUGCUCCAGUACACUGAGGUUGUAUGUGUGAUUGAUCGGGACUGUUUUUUUAAGGACAACCAUGUCUACCCCGGUACUAGGGAUGGCCAUGACCCUACUGACAUGUUCUUCAUUGAUAGGAACAGCAUUGUCAGUUGCCAUAUUUAGUUUAUGUAAAGUGGUAUUGUGAAAUGAGCCACCCACAUAGCUCAUACCUUAGUUCGCGACAUGCAAAGCUCAAUAGUCCCCCAAAGCCCAUCUCCUUAAUGGCUUGCUGUUUUUCAUCGAAUAGAUGUGCAAUGACACCGAUAAAUUUCUUCCUUGAACAGCGGGACUUAGGAAACUUUUCCUACAGUAAAAAUGUAAUAUUUGUCAGUGACAAAAAAAUGCAAGAUAUGGAAAUUUGCAAUAAGGUUGAAAAUGAAGAUUCAAUCCAUUUUGGAAUGAAAACUCUUUUGUCAAUCUAUGUACAUGUUGGUGGAACAUGCCCUUUCAUUUUUCUGCGUUCUGUGGCCAUGCGUAUAGUGAGAUAACCUUAUGUUCGGAAGGUGAAACUGAAAGCUCAAGUUUUGACACCCUACAAAUUAAAGACUGUUAGUGUAAAGUGUCGUAUGGUAAUGCAUAAGGCAUGAAAAAGUUCAUUUACAAAUAAAUUAUAAGAGUCUAGGAAAAAUAAACGUAGAUUUGGAAAAAAAUUGAACAAUACACUAAUAAAUGGAAGCUACCAAUAAGAAAAUUAACCAGUUUUCUUCUUAACCAACCAAAUAGUUGAAUAUUAAGGACAACAACAGUAACUAUUAGUUGCACAAUUAGUAUAAUAAAGUGAAACAAAUUUUUUGUUUAACUAUUAGAUGCAAUUUUCUAGGGAAUCAAUGGCCUUAUACAUAGUCAAGAGUAUGGAUAUGAUAGUUGUAAAAGGGAAUAAAAUUGAGACAGCUAUGGCUUUCAAAAAAUUGAAAUUGAUUUAUGUGAGUGUGAUUGGUUUAACACAAGAUCAACACUUGUGAAACAUCAAGAAGAUAUGCAAGUUUUUGAAGGGCAUAGAGAAAAAUUCUGAACAUGAUCUUGCUGCUUGCCAAAACAGUCAAGUGUAGGGAUUUACUUCUGCUAAUGAAAUAUGCAAACAUUUGUAUUUGCAAGUUUAAUAUGAAAAAAAAGGGAUCCAACAAGUAAAUACGGUUCUAUGAUAAUCCAUUUGACACAAGGAUCCCAUUAUACCUAGUUUAAAAGGACCACAUAUAAUAAACAAGUCAUUGGCAAUAUCUAUGAUAGUUAUUCCCCAUCUUAAAACUUUGAAAAGUUAUAAGGUCGAGUUUUUUCCCAAUUUACACCAGGCUCAUGUUUAACUAGUUUAAAGUCAGCAAGCCAUAAUUUUCAAAACUAUGACAAGACUCACAAACAAGUCAACAAGCAAUAUCAGAACUUUAGUGCCCAUCUUAGAAUUUUAGCAAGUUACUAAAGAUAAAUAGAGUCAUCUUGGCAAGCAAAGCUCAUAUUUUAAGAUUGAACACUCCUAGCAAUUGAAAGUUACAUAUCUACAUAAGAAAAAAAUUUAAAUAUUUCCAAAACAUAAAUUUUAUAGAUGCAAUGUAAGUCAAAUUUGUUUUUGUCCAAAACAACAAGAACUUUACAUUCAAUAGUGCCCUAGCAAGCACCUAUAUGUUGCAAGAAUUCUUAUACAACGUUAAAAAAUGGGAUAAUAACCACCAUGUAUGUAGUUAGACAAGAUAAGUGGUGGUGACGGGAGAAAGGGGGAAUGGUGGAAAACAAAGUAUAACAAAAUAUACGGAUUGAACGGUAUACAUGGAUAUAUAUAAUGUAGUUUGCUUAAGCUAGUUUAAGCAAGGUGAUGGCAGCAAAGACAUGUGGUUGGUGUCAAUACAAAUAAAACAAGAUGUGUUGCAGCCAAAAUUCAGCCAUGGUGAAAGAAAUUAAUAUUCAGAGGAAUAUAUAUAUAUAUAUAUUCCUUUUCAUUUACAUAUCUUUACCAAAAUGUAUACUCAAAUGGUAGAUAUGAUGCAAGUUACAUUAACGUACAAAGACAUGGAAAAGGGCACUAAGGUCACCAAGUAAAAACAUAAAAAUAAAUGAACAAUAGGAUUCAUGUCCAAGACUACCAUUAUAAGAUGAAAGGACAAGCUUGAUAAAUGUCGGGACCUAUUCCUACAUUUUGAUUUAUAAAAAGCCAAAUGCAAAGAAAUAAAUAGAAAUGAUAGCAAUCAUCAUCUUUAUGUUGGAGAUGAUUUUCCAAUCCCCAGAAGGGAAAAAUGUAAAUAAUAAUAUUAAUAACAAUAAUAAUAAUAAUUAUAAUAAUGUGUAGAAAAAAAAAAUUUGAUAUCAAUAGUACAUCAAUAAUUAAGGGAUAUGAUAGCAAAAAAAGUUGGCCCCGUCAAGGAGUACAACCUAUAUAAUAACAUACUUCAGUUUGAUAAUGAAUUCUAAUAGAAUGAAACCUAUAUCUAAUGGAAGGGAGUGAUGUGUUUUUGAAACUGCAUAUGUUAUGAAAGAAAAUUUGGAUUCUUUGCCAUUCAUCCUGGUUUACAAGUACUGGACAUGUACAACAUCAAUGUUGGUUCAUUUCUGGUUAGGAAGGGUCUUUAAUUUAACUCAAUGGACAUAGCAGGUGACAACAAAGGUACAAAACAUUAACAUAAUAACACUCAUUCACUGAGAACCAGUUCACUUAAGUUAGUUCAAAUACGAUAGUACAAGAUCUGAACAAUGCAAUAAGGUGACAGAUAUGCAUUGAAGGCAAAUGAUUCUUGCACGUUUUUCUGUUGUGGUCGAAUAUAUGACAACAGGAGCAAUAGACCUUCCGUUUAUCUUGAAAUUGGGACUCAAUGCGCUUCUUCCUUGGCAUUCCAGGAGGCCCUUUGUAUGUGAAGGCUUUAGAGAGAAGAAAACCUCCCUAGUGAUAGAUCGAACCAAACCAUCAUCAUUGUAGUAAUCAUUAACGCAAUCAAUAAUGUUUUGGCCAAUGAAAAUAAUGACAGCUGCAACAUGUUCACAAGGGAUUCCCAACAUUUGCCAACCCCUAUAAGUGCAUGUACGGUUUAUAAUGUCUACAUUCAACAAGGCUCCCCCAAUACAUACCCCAAAUACUCCAUUCAUAAAUGGUGUGACCGGAUACAUCUCACCAUUUUCAAUAUUUUGUAGUACCUUAUCUUCAAUUUUUGGGCCAAUAAACCCUUUCCAAUUGUUGGACUCUUCUUUAUGCUUCACAAGCAUAGAACCUAACUUGGACAUGUGCUCCAAUAAAAAGUUACAAAUGGAGUGAUGUUUUUCAUUCUAUAAGCAAGCAUUAAAUGACUCGGCAAGGUUGGUAGUCAUUUUAUCUUUUUUUUUUUUUUUUUUUUUGAAUUUUGACAUGGCCCAAUGGCCCAAUGGCAAGACACAUUUUCUUCAACCCAUGUUGCUAAAGCAUCGUUGUAUUUUUUCAGUUCAAACAUGCAAAACGUUAUAAUCAUGUUCUAACCUUGCAUAUGCAAUACUAUCUAGGAAUUGAAGUGUAUUUUCUUUACCCUUGUUUCCUCGUGUGUUAAGCUUGGACAAGAAACUACUAAAAUUCUCCUUCAAGUGACGAUAGCAAUAGGCAUGGUUUUCAAGGCCAAACAUCUCAAGAACACUGCGAAGGAGAGCAAGAUGUCUAUCUAAGACAAUAAUAAUUUCUUGGUUUCCAACAACUAUCUUCAAUUUUUCCAAGAACCACAAGCAAUCUUCAUAAUUUUUCGAGCUCAUCACUCCAAAGGCUAAGGGGAACAUGGAGUCAUUAGCAUCGUAGGCGGUGGCUGAAAAUAGCGCACCGCCAUUUGGCCCACUCAUAUGGGUUAAAUCAAUUGCAAUGAUUGGUCGACACCCCAUUACAAACCCUUGGAUAGAUAUUGAAUGAGCAAUAAAAAACUGCUCAAAAUGGCCAUCAUCAAAAUAACUCAGCUCAAUGCUCAAUCCCGAAUUUGUUGCAAUCAUUCUUUCACACAUCCAUGGCAACAAUUUGUAAUAAUUUUUGGGUAGUCCAUAAAUGCGCUCCUUAACAUUCUCCUUUAUUUUCCAUGCUUGAAGGUAAGUCAACUGGAUGCCAUGUUGCCUUACAAAGUCCUUACAAAUUUGUCGUGGUUGGUAUUCAGGAGUAGAUCGAACGACAUCAUCUAUGACCAAGAAGGCACAAGUGGAUCUCACUAAAGGUUGAGACAAGGCAACAUCUCCCAAGCAAUGGUUAUGUACAUUUCGAAAUGUGUGUACUUGAACAAUGUUUGAAUCCCCUAUUGCACGAGCAGUGAUUUUCCUAAGACAAUCUUCAAUUGUGCAUACUACAGUCAUGUGUUUUGAACUAUUUAUUUUGUAAGAAUAUUGGAAUUUUCCAGCCAAAUACAUCAAAUAGAUUGCAUCUCAAAACUCUGAGACAUUUGGGAAGGUAUGUCCACUACCUAUAAUUGAAUGUUGGAACCGGCUUGGUUGAAAUUGAAUGAUAUUUGUUUCAACACAUAUUUGGGAAAACGCAAAUGACUCAAUUGUAGGCGACUCAUUAGAUAUGUUGCAACGAGGGCUCACCAAUGGAGGAAACAUGUGUCGAGUUUGAAACAACAAUAGGUGUUGGGGCACUGUGAAAAAAACAGGAAAAGAAAUUGAUCAUCCAUCAACCUAUGUGUGAACGUUGAUUAAAAAGGGAAAAAUAUUAUGGGAAGACAUUAGGUACCUAGUAAGGGUAAUGAAGACAUCACCACCUUCAGCACAUUGGCAGACAUAGACACGACAAAACAUGUUGUUAAUUUGAACAUCUUGACUAUGUUGACAUCAUCAUGCAUCAUCGAGAGUAGACAUGAUGGGUCAAACUUCACUAUGAAAUCCAAUUUAAUUGAAUUGGGCUCCAAGUUCAGUUCACCACAUACUUUUGAAACAAAUUCAGAAUCUAAGAUAUUCUUGCUAACAACAAUGCAAUUGGUCCGACCACCCUUAUAUUCGACGGACCCAACAACAAUCUUAACAAGCUCACCACCUUCAGGAAUGUAACAAAACAUCUCCUCUUCCAUUUCCUUAAUGACAUAAAGAUUUGUUACAAAUAAUAUAACAAUGAAAGAUUGAGGAAUUAUGUAUGUUGAUUGCAUUUACUUUUAUGUAGGAAAUAUACAAGACAACUUUUAUUCAUAGAUGAAAUAUUUGAAUCUUCAAAAAUGCAAUUUCCAGUCGUCACACAGGUAGUACCCAAGGUGGGCUAAGAUAGUACCUGAUGUUGACUAAGGCAGUACCUACAGUCGAUUAAGAUUGUACUUUCAAGAAUAAUGAGCUAGUACAUAAGGUUAACUUAGCAGUAGAAUAAGGUUAACCAACUGAUCACCAAAAUAAGACACAAUGGGCUAAGGUAGUACCUAAUAGAUUGGUAAGUUCUAUGCGCAAUUGAGUAUGUUUUAUGCACGUAGCCCAUGCAAUGCCACUUAUUGGUUAUAUCCUUGUGAAAUGGACUACGUACUGACCAAGGAAUUACGAAAUGUUAAGGAAUGAAGUUACUAACGCUAAUAUGAGAAGUGAACAUUUUCUAACCAGCACACCACUUCUAAAAAUUUGGUCACCCAUAAUGACAAGCAAGGUUUUGUUAGAUCAAUUUAUUUUUUUAGGGCAUCUUCAUCAAGAUGGGAAGUUUGUAUUGUUACAGUAGAUACAAAAAGCUACAGAAUGGGAAUAGGUUUAUGCUUAGCCAUGGAGACGAAGGUAGUUUUCUAUUCUGUAGAGGACCAAAACUAAGAACAAUACCCAUGGAGAUCUAGCUCCUCCCUACACCGUUUAUUCAUAAAGAACCUUUUAUCUGAAGACUAGAGUGUCAUAAAAUUUUCAUUUCUUCAUUUAAGUCAUUGAAAAUUUUGUUACUUCAUUUGAAGGGUUACAAUUAUUACUUGCAUAUAUAAAAUAUAAAUUUGACUAGAUAAUUUUAGCUGCUGAAACCUAUAUCAUUUUUUCUAAGCAUUUAUAGCAACUGACUAAUAGUUCAAGUAAUUUUAUAUAAAAAUAUGAAAAUUAAACUGAUAAAAUUAUCAAAUCUAGGUCAUUUUGUGCUAAAUGGGAGCAGUCACAGACAAACAAAACAAAAAAUAUAUAGAUCAAUAUGCAUUUCAUCCAUUCUACUUGCAUUCCCUGGUUCCUAAAAUCUUAUUAAGGAAAUGAAACCACUGCAUGGAUACCAACAGUUCCUAUAUAGCCUUUCCUAUUUCCAUAUUCUAAAAGGGAUCUCUAAAUCAAUAUCAAUUACCAAUCAACAAGAAGAGUAACAUUUACUAACCAAAAAUAUUUGAAAAAAUGGGACAUGAAUUUAAAUUAUAGACAUAAAAAAAACCAACGAAAACUUUAGCACCCAUCAACCAUCAAUAUCAUAAAAACCCAAAAAGUUGAGUAAUUUGGAAUCUAAAAAUCACCAUUUCAAAAGCACUUAUUUCGCUCUCAAAAGAAAUACAUCAUCCCGAAAAAGUGUUCCUUUUGGUAAUCCACUGCAAAGCUCAAUCCAAAAACACAAUCCAAUAAAUGAGUUUCACUAAAAAUGCAUUGUUUCCCAACACCCAAAAAUAAGAAGGAAAAAAAAAGGUUUAUUUUUGGCAAAUCAAUUAAAAAUUUGUUUUCCCAGUUCAAAACCACAACCAAAACAAAUGGGAUUUUCAGCAAAACGAUUCCCAACCCAUAUUCUUGCCUUCAUUUGAUAUCAAAAUAGAAAAGUUUUGGGGAUUCUCCAAUCCAAAUAAAACCGUAGAAACUGAUAAAAAUGCAUGAAAUUGAGAAAAUGGAUGAUGAUUCAUUAUGAACAUAUUUAAAAACUGAUUAUGAACUCCUAGAUGCCAAAAUUUGAGCCACGCCUAAUUGAGAAAAAACCCAGACAAACAGGAGAUUUUCGUGAUGUGAAUGCAAAUGCAAAAGAAAGAAGGAAUGGGUUAUCUUGGGAGAGAAAAUCUAAGAUGAGACAAAUGGGAUUAAGGGCUUUUGAACUUAAAUGAGAUAAAUUUUUGAAAACCAUACAUGGUUUUCAACUUCGCCUAGGUGAUGGAGUGAAAAAACAUGAGAGAAAUGGGUAUCAAAUGAGAGAGAGGAAAUAAAGAAUUGUCCGCUAUGGUGUUUUUGUGGAAAAGUCAAAUUUUGAUUUUUGAGUUUUCAAGUGGUUCAGUUUCAGCCCGUGUUGACAUGGACUCAAAGAUGCUGCUGGCUUGGAGACCUGGGGGGCAAUCUUGGCCUAAAAUAUGCACCAGGCUCAGAGUGCAUAAAAAAUAUAUAACUUUCCACAUUAAAAGCUAGUUUUCAUAUUUCAUAAAUAUGGUUCCGAAAACCAUAUAUGUCCCAAAUGGCCCCAUCAAAACACAAGUUUCCCAAGAAGAAAACAUCUUUCCAAUUAGCAUUCACACUAUGGUUUUCAAAUAGGUUACAGUAUGCCAUUAUAUCCUAUGUCAAUAAUUCACCAUUAGUGGGUGUACCAAAAGAUUCUUCCUAUGAAUCAUACAUUCUUUUAAAAAAAUACAAACUUGACUAUUUUCAUGCCUCUAUUGAUUCUGCCCAACAUUCUGUUUGGAUCAGUUGUCAUAUUUCUCUUGAAUUCCUAUGUUUCUGAUACCAAGUAUAUCAGAUAAGAGUUUUAAAAAAAACACAAGAAACCUCAAACUACCCUUGAUUGCACAAGGGAAGAAGAUUAAGGAUGAAAAUAGACCACAAUGUAUUGUAUAAACAGUUUUAUGACUCUGAAGUGUUUGGUUUCAAUAAUAAUGCGUAGAACACUCAUGUUCUAUCAACAACUCCUAGUGGCUCAAGUAGUGGAUCAACUAUAUUAGCAGCAGCAAAUUUAGCAGUAAUGUCACCAGGGACGGAGACUGAUGGAUCCAUCUUAUAUCUAUCUGAUAGUAAUUCAAUAGUUGGUAUCAAACCAACACUUGGUCUCACCAGCUGAGCUAGGGUGGUUCCAAUCUCUCCUAGGCAGGACACAGUUGGGUAGGUAAUGCUUCAUCUUCCUUAAUCCGAAUACAAGACUAUCAUCUGUUGAGCAACCAAAGAGAGCAGACUGGUCCAUCUUAUUGACAAACAUAGAAAAUGAGAAAUAACAAUGAAAAGUCGGGAUCUUACAAUUAUUUAAAUUUCAAAUGAUGAUUUUUAGUAGUGAAUUUUGUGUUUACACUCUUCAUCUAGAUUGAAGCCAAUCAAGCAUCAAUGAAUGUAAUUGGAUUUUAUUACAUGCAAUACAAGAUUUUCACAUGGUUCUGUUAAUUUGUUAGGCUUUGAUAUAAAUCUGCUUGCUUUAUGAUCAUCGGCAUAUGUUUCACUACUUUGUUUUUAAUUGGAAAAACUUCAUAGUUUUGUUAUAUCCAUUGAUCUCAGAACUCAAUGGUGUUAAUUCUAGUAAGAACUCCUAACAUUUUGGAUGCAAUAGGCCUAUCUCAGGACAACCUUCUAUUCUAUAGAGAUAUUGGAUGUCAUUGUUGGUUUUGACUACAGGAAUGAAGCAACUAGGACAACAUCCAAGUACAAACCAUAAGGUAGCUAUAAGCAAUUUCUCAAUGCAAAUGAGAUCAGGGAGAAGAGAUUGUAAUAAGUACGAAUGCUAAGAAACAAAACAGAUCAUGAUCAGAAUUCUUCCAAAAAAGAAUAGAGAAAAAAAAUGAAAAAUAUUGGAGAAAGCAUUUCGCACGAUCUUGCUUUGGAUAUUGAAAUGAAAAACAAUAGAGUCCCAACACUUCACAAAACCUAAAAAACUCCAAUGAAAAUCUACAGCAUUUCACACGAUCUUGCUUAAGAUAUUGAAAGAUCAUGACCUUCUCUCAAAAGAAGUCCUUCAAUAAAUAUGGAUUAAUGGUUUUCCUCCCUCCUUUAGAGAAAAUAGGGUUAGACCAUAGGGUAGGGCAGGGCAAAUGAAAGAGAAAACAAAUUAGGGUUUCAAUUAGAAGAAAAGGAAACCCAUUGGAAUCUCGGAAUGCAAAUCUUAUCCCACUUCCAGUUGGUAGCUAGACUCCUCACUUGAGCUACUCCUCUAAUCCCGACUACAUCGACUAAAUCUUUUGCUUUUGAAAUGAAAACCUCCAGAUCUCAGUUCGUUUCUGGUUACUUCAUGGAAGAGAAAACCAAAUAGCUCUAUCUAUGGAGCACUAGUGCAUCAUUGGGAAGUGAAGCUUAGAGUGUAUGCUCUCAAAUAUUCCUACCACCAUGAGAUUCCAAGACUUAUGGAGGGAAAUUCUGUAGAAGAAAUGAAACUUUUAGCUAAAUAUAUUCACUGUGUAACAUAAUGGCGCUUUUAAGAAGUGAUGAGGAUAAAAAAAAAUUUAUAUAUAUCAAUGACACUUUUCAGAAGAGCCAAGGAUGCAAAAAAUGAUGCUUAAAAUAAGCGCCAAGAUUUUUAACCUCUACCGUUCCAUGACGCUUGUAGAGCGCCAUAGUAAAGGAGCAUCAACGUCUAGGCAUGAUAAGCUAAAUAAAGAAACUUUUCUAAUAGCGUCCAGAAAGAAAACGUCAUUCUUUUUGUGUUUUUGUUUUUUUGUUUUUUUGGUUUUUUUAGUAGUGCUAGUGAUUAUAUUUGCAUCCUUCAAAUAUCGUUACACAUCUACUUAAAUUUUAAAAAACUUAGGACAAAAAUGGCAUUCUCCUUUAAAGUUAUUAUUAUGUGGAACUAUACUUUAACAUCCUUAAGGUUGUGUUUGGUUCCAGAAAAUACUAAGGAAAAAAAAAUAUAUAAAUAAAAAUGAUUUUUUCAUAUUUGGUUGUCCUAUGAAAAAUAUAGAAGAAAAUCAAAUAUAAUUAAAAUUUCAUGUAUGUUUAAAUUAUUUAAAUCUUUAUAUCGAUGAGUUAAAAUAAAUAAAAUUAGUUUAAAGUAACAAAUAAAAAUAAUUUAUCGACUUUUAAUUUAUUUUUUAUUUUUCUUCACUUUUUCUUUCCUUCUACUUUUCCUUUAUAUUUUAUUUCCUUUGUAUUUUCCCUCAAAUUUUCCGAGAACCAAAUAUAACCUAAGAGAAUAUAGAAUAUUCUAAACAUCCUUAAAGGUGUCCAUAACUAAACUUUUGAACACCAUUAAAAACGUGAAAAACUAUAUUUUGGACAUACUUCAGAUGUCGAAUCUUUCUUUCAAGUUUGAAUGCCAUGAAAUUGUUUCAAGAUUGGGAACAACAGGACCAACUCAUCAUGUCAGGGAUCCUUGCAUCCAUAUCAGAUGCUCUUCUAACACGUAUGGUAAAUUGUGAUACUUCAGCUCACGUAUAGAGGACUCUUGAACAACAUUUUGCCACUGAAGUACGAGCCAAAAUAACUCACUUCAAGACUCAACUUCACAACACAAAGAAAGGUGGCCCAUCCAUAAGUGACUACUUUCUCAAGAUCAGAAACAUUGUUGAUCACCUUGCACUAGUUGGCCAUAAUUUUUCUGAUAAAGACCAUAUAGAUGCAGUCUUUGAAGGAUUACAUCAAGAAUAUGGAACCUUCAUCAUCUCAGUAAGCUCAAGAAUUGACCCAUAUACAGUUGAAGAGAUUGAAGCACUCCUUCUUGCCCAAGAAGCUUGUAUUGAGAAAAACAUCAAGAUUCAUGAAUUCUCCCAGUGAUACUCGGGUUUUUAAUGACAUGUCAAAUUCAGAUAUUAGAAAAGUUUUCAUAAAAUUGUUAAUCAAAUGGUAAAAAAAGAAAGAAAGAAAGAAAAAAUUGUGAAGAUCCACAUCUUAAUUGAGAGAGAUUUUAGAAAAGUUAGUUAAAAGUGAAUAGUUUAAAAAUCUUGCCACGUGUAUGUAAAGAGUAGGAAUUAAAAAAAUUAUUAAAUAAUUGAGAUUAGGUUUUAAAAUUUUGAAUAUUAAGUAUAUUGUGAGAAUUAAUUUAAUAAUUAUUAGAGAAUUGUGGAGAAAAACUUGGUAAAAAUUUAUAUUAUAUUGAAUUGUUAUAAUGAAUAAUUAAAAAACGUUGAAUUUAAUUCUAGAACGAAUCAAUUUAACUCUUAUACUUGGAAUUAAACCUUAUAGGAUUAUAAAACAUCAAAUAGAAUUGAAUUGAAAUUAAGUUUAGAUUAAAUUAUGAUAUAUGAAUUUAAGAAAAUGUAUAAAAGGGUAUUUUAAUUAAAUGCGAAUUUAAUGAAUUUAACUUUUGCAAUUUUGAUUCAAUUGAGGAAUUUGACAAAUGAAAUAAAUUAAAUGAAAGGUAUACUAAAGGUUGAUAAUUUGAUUAUUAUAUAAAUUGAAUGACUAAAUAAUUGAUGGAAUUAAGUUUUAGAAUAUUGCUUAAAUUUGUGUUAAUAAAUAAAUAUUGGUAAAAUUAACGAGUUAAAGGUUAUCAUGAAUCUCAACUUCUUGUAUGUUGAAGAAUUAUUUUAUAUUUAAGACCUUUUAUAAAAUAGAUUUUUAUUUUUUAUUUUUUAUUCUUUUUAAUAGUUAAUGGAAUCACGUCCUAAAUGAAUUUCAAAGUAAAAAUGCAUUAGGUAAUUAAAUUCAAAUUACAUUUUUUGAAGAGUAGACUUGUAGUAAUUAAAUUUAAUAAAGAAUACAAUGGUAUUUUUCGUAAGACAGAAAAUCAUAAGUUGAGUAUAAUUUAUAAUUGUGGAAUGUAAAAUAAAAACUAGUAUUUUAAUUUAUUAAAAAAAAAAUGUGUGGUAUUUCAAAUUUGUUUAAUAAUAAUAAUAAUAAUAUAUAGAAGGAAUGGAGAACAUAAUAGGGGCGUUCGUAGAAGGGAAAGUGUCGUUGGCCUUCGACCGAUCGUUUGGUGGCCAAACGACUUUCAUUUUGUGUGAGAUUUUAGAAGAACACUCUAUUCAACAUGAGGAACAUAUGAACGUAGUCAGAUUUUGAUUUCAACAGUUAGAUUUUCUAAUUUGAGGUAAGGUGGUUUAAUCCUAAAACUUUGAUUUAAUAUUUUAGUUUGAAAAAAAUUUAUAUAUUGUGUUGUUGGGAGAUAAUAGAUGUUAUUUGUAUUAUUUGAAGUGUGAUUAUGAUUAUUGAUAAUUUUAUUUUGUGAUUUACAUAUUUUUUUUGGAAUAAUGAUAAUAUUUAAAAUGAUUUAAAUAUAGAAAAAUAGUUGUAUUGAGUGUUAGAAAUUAUAUAUUGAGACUGUUGAGAAUAAAUAAAAUUAAAGUAUAAAUUGUGUUUCAUUGAUAUUUGAAUUAUUGAGAAUUUUCUUUGAUAUUUGGGAUGAGAUAAUUGAAGAAAAAUUGUUGUGUGGUUGUUGGAAAUUAUUAAGCUAUUGGGAAUAAAUAAAAUUUAUGUGACUAAGGUUUAACCCAUGUUUCGAUAAUAUACGAAUUAUUUGUGAAUUUUCUUUGAUGUUUGUAGUGAUUAAAGUGGAGAAAAAUCGUUGUGUGAAUUAUUGAAAAUUAUAAAACAUAAUUGGAGUAAAUGUAAUUAUGCCUUGGAAGAAAAAGAAAAAUUGAAGAAAUGGUUGAAUUAGUAACUUUAAUUUUAUAGGGUACUCAAAACAUUUCCAAGUUCACAAUCUAAAAAUCUCAAUCUAAUCAUUGACAUUCAAAAUAUAAAGUGAAAGAACAUUGUUUAAAACAAUUUUCAAAAUAAUUGGUUUAUGUUGACUUAUGCUAGUGUUUUAUGAAAGAAAAUACUACAUUAUUGUAAUAGCAUAAACAAUAUUUAUCUCAAUAAUUUGAGUCAUUACACUCUCAACGGGAAAAUAAUAUAUCCAACUCAUAAGCAGAUUGUUUUGGCACCUCUAGAGAAUAAGUUCAGAAUUUAUUGUAAUGUCAUCUUCACACAUCAGAGAUGGACAUGGAUGAAGACCCUCAAUGAAGAACUCAAGGCCAUUUACAAUACUAACAUUGAGUAGUUGCAUUUUUCACAAAAGAUAGUUUGAUCUAUCUCAUCGUAUAGUUAGGACUUGGUUUAGUGAUGGAAGUGGUAGUGCAUGGUAAUUUUGAGAAAUUGAAGACAAGGUUCCGAUCGAGAUUGAGGAGGACGAAACCAUUGCCACCAUUGUUGAAGAGGUAAAAGUUUCAACAAAGGGCAUGGUUGACCAUUGCACCUAUUAUACCCAAGGAGGAAAAUAUCGCGAUAUGUCAUCCAAGCAAACUUGCCCUUGGUAUAUAUUAUGUACUAAACUUAUAUAUACUUAAACUCAUUAUAUAAAGAAAAUAUUAAAAGAAUAUUUUAAAGAGCAAAUUAAUUAUAAUUAUUUUAUAAUUAAAUGCAAAAUUUUCUUUUAAUUGAUUACCAAAAAUAUAAAAAUUAUAUAAUUUUUUUCAUAAUGUUUUUAUAUCAUUAAUAAUUAAUUAAAUAUUAAAAAAUUAUAUAUAUAUCAUAAUUUAUUUUAUAUUGUUUAAUACAAUUGAAUUAAAUGGAUCAUAAUUUUAAUAUUAAUAUAUAUUUUAAAAUUAGACAUAUUAUAAUCAAUUAUCAUAAUAUUAGAUGUAAUUUAAUAAUAAAUGUACACUCGAUGCAUACAAUAUUAUUAUCAAAUAUAAUAAAUCAUGUUAUACAUAUAUCAAAUUUUUCAAUAAAAUAACUUUAAAAUGUCUAUUAUACUUCUAAUUAUAUUAAUAUAGGGUUUUUCUUACAUUUUCAUGAGUUUUUAACAAUUUUAAGAUUACCGCUAUUUUUUUUCCAAAAUAUCCGCCGAUAUAUCCGAUAUAUUCGUAAAAUCGAUGUACCGAUAUAUCCGUGAUUACCGAUAUUUUCAUCCUUGAUUAUACCAUGUAAAAUAAAAGUAUAGUGGUUUUGGAAAAUACAAUGAAACAGAGUGAGUUUGAUUUUUUAUUUUUUUAUUUUUUAACAAAAUAAAAUGUUGAAAAAAAGAAGUAAAUAAAGGAAGAUAUAUUAAGAGUCAAUUUGACAUUACUUUUAAUGAAAGUGUUUUUAUUGUAAGUGUUUUCUUCUACAACACUUCUGUGAAAAACACUUUUAUGAGAAUUUUAAAAAGUGAUUCUAAUAGUAUUUUUAAUAAUAUAUUGCAUAAGUAUAAAAACAUUUUUAAUAAUAAUAAAUUACUAAAAAAGGAUAUUUAUUACAAAAAAAAUAUUAUAAUAAAUAAAAACUUUUAUUAAAAAAAUAUAUAAAUAUUUAAUUGUUAAAAAAACUCAAAAAUUAUUUUUAUGAAAAUGAAGUGAAAGAGGAAGAGGAGAGUAAGAAAAAAAAAAAAAGAAAGUUAAAGGGAAAUGGAGGAUAGCGAGAAAAUUUAUUUUAGGAAUAUAUAAAAAAAAAUGAAGUAUUUUUUUUUUAAAGAAACACCUCUCAAGUGCUUCUCUAAAAAACACUUCAAAUGUUUUUUAAAAUUUUCAUAAGUGUUUUUCAAAAUAUUAUCAAACAUAUAUUUUUUUUAUCUUAAAAAAGCAUUUAAGUGUUUUUAGGGCUAAAAACACUUCUAAAAAACAUUGCCAAAUGAGCUCUAAAUUCAUAUUUCCUUGAAUUUAUAUUUUUUUGAAUUUAUAUUUUAUUUUCUCUCUAUGAAUUUUCCUUUAUUUCAAAUAUAAACUAUAUUUUAAAAGGUUAAUUUUAUUUACUUGCCUUAAGGUUUUUGUUAGAUACACUUAAUUAUCAUUUAUUUGAAAUUUUAUUAAAUAUCUUUCUUAUCCUUUUCAUUUCUUAAUUGCCAUGUACUCGAUAAAAUCAACUUGAAGGGAAUUAAGCCAAAUUCCCAACCUGUGAGAAACAAAAAAUAGAGAAAACACAAGCUAAAGAAAAAGAAUCACACGUACAAGACAAUAUUUACGUGGUUCGGCAAUUUGUCUACGUCCACAGAGUUACAAAAAUAUCACUAUUAUCAGGGAAGAAUACAGAGUACAUCUUGUGGCUACAAUAUUUUCUCUCUAUAUAUAACAUAGCAACCACACCACAUUAAAAAACCCUAAUUACAAAAGGCGGUUCCACAAUGGGUUAAACGGGCCUAUCGGCCCAAGCCUUCACUUCAUGGACUAAGCCUUAGUAAAUCUCCUAUUAAAAAACCAUACAAUAUUAUUCAGGUCGGGUUGUCAAACCGAAUCAAACAAAACUAGGCUCCACAAAGCCCAACAAAAUCAAUCUUAUUAUCAUCCUUACUUCUUGAACCUUGGCUUAAAACUCCAACUUCACACAACAUCUAGUAUAAAUUAAGAAAGGACUUAUUAAAAGUAGUAACAUUCUACUUUAGUUUUAAAAUGUUAACAAAAAUUAGAGGAGAAUGAACUAAAAUAUACUGAAUUUAAAAUCAAGCUAACAGAUUAGAAACCAUUUGAAAUCUCACGUGAUUAAAUAGCUUUCUUGUAGUCUGACAAAGGAAAGAAAUUACUUGAAAAGAAUGGCAAAAUCGAAUCGCAUCUUAUGAACUAUAAUCACAUGAUUUCUAGACUUAGUGCAUCCAUUGCCAAGAAAGAUGACGAUCAUAUCACCUUUUGUAAUAAUUCAAUGCCUCUUUUUGUAAAGCCAUAUCAUAAAUAUAAUGAAAUUAAAAGGCAAAUUAAUCAAUCAAAUAAUUAAAAUUUAAAAUUUACAUGGCAGUAGGUGAGGGAAUUGUUCAGUUAAGAAUGAAGAGAGACCACACUCGAGGAAAUAUUAUUGAGGGCAUUGAUGUUGACUUCCCAUAUUCACACCUAAUUAAAAAGGUGAUUAAGAAAAUAAACAAAAACAACCCAAAAAGAGUGAAAGAUAUAUUGCUAGGAAAGAUUGUUCAAAAUGAUCCCAAGUUAUAAAAAUGAACUCUUUCAUUAAGAUGACCUUUUUGAAUACUUUUAUCCUUUUUUGUUUUUUGUUUUUUGUUUGCCUUCAAAAUUAUAAUCUUUCCUUUAUUUAUGUUAUUUUAUUUACUUUAUCAUUUUUUUUUCUAAUUUUUCAUUUAUUUCUUCUACUUACUUUUUCUCUUCUAUGAAGUCUCAUUAUAACUUCAUCUUUAACUUAAUCUCUCUCUUACCCCAUAAUUUCAUCUUUAGUUUAGUCAUGUCUUAUGAAGCUAAUUGUAUUUUCCUCCCUAACUUACUCUCUAAGUUGUUAGUAAUCCUUGAUCUCAAUUCUUUCUCGUACUCCAUUUUUAUUUUCAUUCAAGGUGCUCAUUAAAAUUACACAAGGGCUAAAUUUAAAUUAUAAGAGUUAAUUUCAAUUACAUUCCCUCAAGUUUUGGCUUAGAUACACCUUACCUCAACUGGUUUGAAAUUUCAUCAAUUAUCUCUCUUAUUUUAAGUGAAAGGGGAGGUGAGUAAAAUUAAUAAAUGAAAAGGUAAAGGAUAUAUUUGAUGAAAUUUUAAAUCAAUGAGCGAAAAUAUAUUUAGCUGAAACAUCAUGGAAAAUGAAUUAAAUUAACUUUAUACAAAACUUAACUGAGAUUAAAUUCUUGUAAAGUUUCUCACUUAAUCUAUCAUGAGAUUAUGUUCAAAAUCAUAAUAGUGAUGAGAUCUCAAACUUCAUAUCUUAACACAGUCAAUUGAACUUAUCUUGAUGAGUUUGAAGUCUCAAAAUUGUUUUGAGAUCCCUAGCUAGAAAUAAUCGCUAAAGCCCUUAAUUUUUUUUAUUAAAAUGUCUGUGAGCUUGAUUGAGAUCAAUUUGGAUUACUUUUAGAGAUUCUAGAGGAAUUUAGAAGAAUAUAUAAAGGAAAAAACUUAGGGAAGAUGAAAAGUGUUAGUUAGAGCAGCCUUCUAUUGCACCAAAAGAAGUGGGCGCACCCUUCUACUAUGCCAAAAGGACUUGACGCAUCUGUAUAAGUAUGCUAGGAAGGAAAAUAAAGCAACAAGCCGACCUUUGACUUGAGAGAUGGAGAACCCGUAAGCUGAAUACACGUUCACACGUUCUCACUUCAUGAUGUGGUCCAACACUUUGACCACGUCCUCCACCAUCUCACUUCCGCUGCGGUUAAGGAGCACGUUCCACCAACUGCUCAACAUGGUGGCAAGAGCAACGUGGUUUGAUGGAAGCCACUGUUAUAAAGUUUUCAGAAAAUGGUCCCGAACUCACUCUGCUAUUAUCUUCAAAAACACCAUCUAAAAAAGAGAGAUUAGAGUUUGGAAACCAAAGGUUGAAUCGAUUCCAGCAACUUGAUCUGAUGGCUGGAGGUAAGUAGACUACAAGUCUUUUACAGAUUGAAUUCAUGUUGUAAGUGUUCAUUGAAUUGUUUAUAUGCAUUAUGAACUGGUUACAUUUGGUAUCAGAGCCAUUAAAACCUUGCCUCUGCCUUGGUAUCUAUUUUGCACCAGAAUUGUUUAGUUAAUGUUUCCUUUUCUGGUUAUAAAAUACAAUCAUACAGUAUGCUUGAGAGGAAUAUCCGUUUUAUGAUCUCUCAAUUACUACUUAAAAAAAUUAAAAUACCCAUGCUUGCCGACACCACAAAUGAAGGAUCAUUGCUACUGCCACUGUAGUAUAAUUUUAAUAAAGUCGGCUCUGGAUGGUGAGCCUCCACCCAAUCUAUGAGCCAUAGCUUUACUUGAAAGAACCCAUUUGCCAAACUUGGAGAUCGACUUCUCCAAUUAUCUCCAAUGAAAGCCACUAUUCGGCGACUUUCCGACAGAAAUCCUGCAUCAUUUCCGAAGUGGGUCUGCCUCCGGUACACCCAUUUCCAAAGGUGACCAUGAUAAGGGCUAAGGAAGCAAUCUGGUGGGUGUUUAAGAGGCCAUUGUCACUGUGAGUCAUGCAAAGCUUUCCUGAAGCGCUGCCAGGCUGUUUUGCGGCUGAAGCAUGGUGUUGCCUGUGAGGAGAGGCGCUGUCUAUCUGGUGCAUUUAGUCUCCACCGUCAUUGCCUCAAUUCUGCCAUGGUCAGACUUGGACUAGCGGCGGUGGAUUUGGUGCCGGAAAAAGCGGCAACAGUGGCGUUCAUCCGCUGGUGAUGCAGGCUGCUUGAAAGGCACUGCGUGGGGUUGUUCUUGCAUGUGUUGCAGACGGCUCCAUAGCUAGCUAAUAAUGGUGCAAUCCAUGUGGGUGGCGGCGAGUACGUGGCUACCAGUGAUGAAGUAGUCCAUGGGGUGGCGGAAAAUUAGGAUGGUGGGUUUUCGUUGCAGUUGAUAAUAAUAAUAAUAAUAAUAAUAAAAACUAGAGAGAGAUUGAGUUCUGCUAAGUUUUUGGGCCUUGGUAUAAGUGACUUUUGGGCCUAUGAAGCUUAUUGCAUGACAGUGGCCCAUUUUACUGAAUUAAGGGGCUUUAAGUGUUGGGCUAUGGGUUAAUUGUUAAAAUUGGGUCAAUUUAGGUUCUUAUGGCCCGGUUUAAAUUAUUUUUUUGGGCUUGUAACUGAUUGUGAAAUUUGGGCCAAUUUAGGCAAUUAUGACCUGUUUGAAAUAAUUUUAUUGGGUUUAGGCAUCCAUUCAUAAUUUGAAACCUUUUAAAUUAUUCUAAAUUAUAUGUGAUUUUUAUACAUGCAAAUUAAAUUAUUUAUUUUAAUUUAUAUGUUUGUAUGUGUAAAAAUAUAGCCUAAAUUUAGUUAGAUAUAUUAAAAUUAUAUCAUAUAGUAUGCAUGCAAUUGUUGCCUAAAAUUUAGUUAGAUAUAUUAAAAAUAUAUCAUAUAGUUUUAAUGUCCAGUGAAUCCAUAUGAUUUUUUAAAUAAUUAAGGAAUAGCCACAACAUCCUUCAUUAUAUAAAAAUUAUAUAUUAAUAAGGAUCACAUUAUGGACAUUAAUUGUAAUUAACUAUAUAAAUAUGAUGAUUUUACCCCACAGGGUUUUCAUUAUGUUUAUAUAAUUAAUUAGGAUAAAAUAUUAAAAUUAAUUUUUCCUAAUUUACCCACAUAAGUUAUGAAUAAUUAAUUUAAUAGGUUUAUCAUAAAGAUUAUAGACAGAAAAUAUCAAACUAUAUUCAUAAUAAAUUUCAUAAUUCAAUAAAAUAGUUUGAUAAAGUCUAUCAUAAAGAUAAUUAAUCUGAUUGAAUUAAAGAUUUAGCCUACGGGCAAUUUUUAACAAAAUUAGAUUCAAUUUUAAGCAUGUUCUACAUUGGUAAAGCAUGAAUUUAUAUUAAAGCCUCAAAUUUUUUAAUAAGCUUGUAAUCCUUUUGUGCAGUUUUACCUAGCAUAUCUGAUAUUCGUUGUGAGGUUCCCGAACUUAGAGGAGAUAACUUUAAGAUAUGGAAGGAGAGAAUUCUUCUUCAAUUAGGGUGCAUGGACAUAGAUUAUGCUAUAAGGAAAGAUGAACCACAUAAGAUCAUUGAUACCAACACACUUGAAGAAAUAUUAUUGUACGAACACUGGGAGAAAUCUAAUCGCCUUAGCGUGAUGUACAUUAAGACAAAAAUCAGUGCUGGUAUACGUGGUUCAAUCGAGCAACAUGAGAAUGUCUGUGAAUUGCUAAAGGCUAUUGGCGAGCAAUUCGUCACUUCAGAUAAAGCCUUGGCAAGCACCCUAAUUAUGAAGUUCACAUCCCUGAAGCUCACCGGUAUAAGAGGUGUGCGUGAACAUAUCAUGGAGAUGAGGGACAUUGUGGCUCAAUUGAAGAAACUCGAGGUAGAAAUGUCUGAAUCUUUCUUGGUGCACUUUAUCCUUAACACUCUUCCACCUCAAUAUGGACCUUUCAAAAUCUCUUACAACACACAUAAGGAUAAGUGGUCUAUUAAUGAAUUGAUGACCAUGUGUGUUCAAGAGGAAGGAAGGUUAUUGAUGGAACAGGGAGAAAGUGCCAUGCUGGUGAUGCAAAGGAAAGGAAAGAAAGGAAAAUCUCAAGCUAGUCAGAAAGGGAAGCAACAAAUUCCUCCCAAAUCUGACAUUAAGAAAGACGAAAAGUGUUUUUCUGUAAAAAAAAAGGACACGUGAAGAAGAAGUGUCUGAAAUUUCAGAAUUGGCUUGAGAAGAAAGGUAACCCUACCUCAUUUGUUUGCUAUGAAUCUAAUAUGGUUAAUGUAAACACCAACACAUGGUGGAUUGAUUCUGGAUCUACAAUCCACAUUUCAAAUUCCUUGCAGGGUAUGCAAAACUAAGGAAGCCAAUGACAAGUGAGCAAUUCAUCUUAUCCGGAAACAAGAUGGGCUCGCAUGUGGAAGCAAUAGGGACAUGUUAUUUAACUUUAUAUGGUGGUUUUAUUUUGGAAUUGCAAAGGACCUUUUAUGUACCAAGUUUCUCACGAAACUUGAUUUCAGUUUCUAGACUUGUACCGUUUGGAUAUUCCUUUCAUUUUUCAGAAACAUCUUUCAGUUUGAUUUAUAAAUCUGAAUGUGUUGGGAAUGUUAUCUUGUCUGAUGGUCUUUAUUGUAUAUUAUUACAAAAUGAUACCGCUCAUAAUUCAUUACAUGUCCAAACUGGCAUUAAGAGAUGUGUUGUAAAAGAGGAUUCCUCUACAUUGUGGCACCAGAGAUUAGGUCAUAUCUCCAUAGAUAGAAUCAAAAGAUUGGUGAAUGAUGGGGUACUUAGUACUCUAGAUUUUACUGACUUUGAGACUUGUGUGGACUGCAUUAAGGGUAAGUAGACCAAUAAGUCAAAAAGAGGUGCUACUAGGAAUUCCAGCAUACUAGAGAUCAUACAUACUGAUAUAUGUAGUCUUGACAUGGACUCUCAUGGUCAGAAAUACUUCAUCUCUUUCAUAGAUGAUUUCUCACGAUACAUGUAUCUCUACAUAUUUCAUAAUAAAAAUGAAGCUUUAGAUGCCUUUAAAGUCUUCAAGGCAGAAGUAGAGAAACAAUAUGGUAAACAAAUUAAGAUUGUGAGAUCAGAUAAAGGUGGAGAAUAUUAUGGUAGAUACUUGGAAGAUGGACAAUCACCUGGGCCAUUUGCGAAGUUUCUUCAAGAGCAUGGGAUUGUUGCCCAAUACACCAUGUCUGGUUCUCCAGACCAAAAUGGUGUAGCAGAAAGAAGAAACCGAACUUUAUUGGACAUGGUGAGGAGUAUGCUUAGCAGCUCAAAACUUCCUAAAUUCUUGUGGACUGAAGCACUUAAUACAGCAGUGUAUAUAUUAAACCGAGUUCCAACCAAGGUUGUCCCAAAGACGCCAUUUGAGUUAUUGAAAUGUUGGAAACCGAGUUUGCGACAUAUGCGCGUUUGGGGAUGCUCGUCUGAAGUGAGAAUUUAUAAUCCACAAGAGAAGAAACUGGACCCAAGGACUAUUAGUGGGUAUUUCAUUGGAUAUGUUGAAAAGUCUAAGGGGUACAGAUUUUACUGUCCAUCUCAUAGUAUUAGGAUUGUGGAAUCAAGAAAUGCUAAAUUUCUUGAAUAUGACUUGGUCAGUGGGAGCGAUCAAUUUAGAAACAUAGUUUCUGAUAUUGAUCAUACAGAGUCUCAACCUUCCACUUCAAGUGAUAGAUUGUUUAUUGUUCAUAACACCCCUCAAGUACAAUCGGGUGUAGAACGAACAAUCACUGAAGUUCAACCAGUUGUUGAAGUUCCACAAGCUGUUGACAACAUUCCAGUAGAUCAAGUUGAUCAGGAGUUUCCUGAUACUUCUGGACAACAAGUUGAACCUCAUACUUCCUUAGAAGAUAUUGGUGCAACCUUAAGAAGGUCUACUCAAACUAAGAGGUCAGCAAUUCCUAAUGAUUAUGUAGUGUAUCUACAGGAAUGUGACUACAAUAUAGGAGCCGAAAAUGAUCCCGAAUCAUUUUCACAAGCCAUGAGUUGCAAAGAAUCAGAAUUGUGGUACAAUGCCAUGAAGGAUGAGAUGAGUUCCAUGAAGUGCAACGAUGUUUGGGACCUUGUUGAGUUGCCUAAUGGUGCAAAAACCAUUGGUUGUUAAUGGGUUUUUAAGACAAAGAAAGACUCAUUAGGCAACAUUGAGAGAUACAAGGCCAGACUUGUUGCAAAGGGGUUCACUCAGAAAGAAGGAAUCGAUUACACGGAAACUUUUUCUCCUGUAUCUAAGAAAGAUUCCUUACACAUUAUAUUGGCAUUAGUAGCCCACUUUGAUUUGGAAUUGCAACAAAUGGAUGUGAAAACAACAUUUCUUAAUGGAGAGCUAGAGGAGGAGGUUUACAUGAAACAACCUGAAGGAUUCCCCUCUAGUGAUGGUGAGCAAUUGGUUUGUAAGCUUAAGAAAUCCAUAUAAGGUUUAAAACAAGCAUCCCGCCAAUGGUAUUUAAAAUUUCAUAACAUAAUUUCUUCAUUUGGUUUUGAAGAAAAUGUUAUGGAUCAAUGCAUAUACCUUAAGGUCAGUGGGAGUAAAGUUUGUUUUCUUGUUUUAUACGUGGAUGACAUCUUACUUGCAACCAAUGAUAAGGGUUUACUUCAUGAGGUGAAACAAUUCCUCUCUAAAAUUUUUGACAUGAAGGAUAUGGGUGAGGCAUCUUAUGUCAUUGGCAUUAAGAUCCAUAGAGACAGAUUUAAAGGUAUCUUAGGUUUGUCUCAAGAAACCUAUAUCAAUAAAGUUUUAAAGAGAUUUCAGAUGAAGAAUUGUUCACCUAGUGUUUCUCCUAUAGUGAAGGGUGAUAGGUUCAAUCUGAACCAAUGCCCGAAAAACGAUCUUGAGAGGGAACAAAUGAAGAACAUUCCAUAUGCUUCUGCAGUCGGAAGUUUGAUGUAUGCUCAAGUCUGCACAAGGCCUGACAUUGCAUUUGCUGUUGGAAUGUUAGGACGAUAUCAGAGUAACCCAGGUAUAGACCACUGGAAAGCUGCAAAGAAAGUGAUGAGAUGUCUUCAAGGAACCAAAUAUUACAAGCUUAUGCACAGACGAACAAGCAAUUUAGAGGUAGUUGGCUACUCAGAUUCAGACUUUGCUGGCUGUGUUGAUUCACGUAAAUCAACAUUUGGAUACAUUUUUAUAUUGGCCGGUGGAGCUAUAUCUUGGAGGAGCGUUAAGCAGACCAUGACUGCUACUUCUACUAUGGAAGCUGAGUUCAUAUCUUGUUUUGAGGCUACUUCACAUGGUGUAUGGCUUAAGAGUUUCAUUUUCGGGCUUAGAGUUAUGGAUUCAAUAUCUAGGCCAUUGAGUAUAUAUUACGACAAUUCAGCUGCAGUCUUUAUGGCAAAGAACAAUAAAAGUGGAAGUCGAAGCAAGCACAUCGACAUUAAGUAUCUAGUCAUAAGAGAACGUGUUAAAGAAAAGAAAGUGGUUAUUGAGCACAUUAGCACUGAAUUGAUGAUCGUUGAUCCUUUGACUAAGGGCAUGCUACCAUUGAAAUUCAAGGAUCAUGUAGUGAACAUGGGACUUAGUUCCCUUAUGUAGUUUCUAUUGUACAAACUCUUAUUAUGAUGUUUUCUCAUAUUGAUGCGCACUUUUUAUUUAAUUUUGAGAAAAUUCAACUUCAUUGGACCAAGAAUGAACAUAGGGUUUAUUCAUUAAGUAAUAUUGCCACAUAAAGUAUAAUGUUAAGAAAUGAGUACACUGUAAUACAUGGAAGGUAACACUCGUUAAAUAGAGAACUUAUCGCCAUGAUUCAUGUAUUUGUUACUUAAUGGGACAAUUGAUGGACUAAAUUAGGACAUUAGGUUAAAGGUGUGGACCAAGUGGGAGAAUGUAAGCUGAAUACACGUUCACACGUUCUCACUUCAUAAUGUGGUCCAACACUUUGACCACGUCCUCCACCAUCUCACUUCCGCUGCGGUUAAGGAGCACGUUCCACCAACUGCUCAACAUGGUGGCAAGAGCAACGUGGUUUGAUGGAAGCCACUGUUACAAAGUUUUCAGAAAAUGGUCCCGAACUCACUCUGCUAUUAUCUUCAGAAACACCAUCUAAAAAAGAGAGAUUAGAGUUUGGAAACCAAAGGUUGAACCGAUUCCAACAGCUUGACUUUUACAGAUUGAAUUCAUGUUGUAAGUGUUCAUUGAAUUGUUUAUAUGCAUUAUGAACUGGUUACAGAACCCUCUCCCAGACUUAACUGGCGCACCUUUUAAGUGCGCCAAGGAAAAGAAAGAGUUGUGGCUCAACCCCAUCAAGGAUUGAUAGGCAUACUCUGUCCACUAAAGAUUAAAUGUGUUAGCACAUCUCUUAUCUCCCUCCAUGAACAAAUGGCGCAUUUAAUUAUACAUACACUGUAAGCAUUGGGCUGCCUAUCCGAUGGUGCAAUUCAAAAGCUGUGGCACGCUUGGUCAACGUAUGAGAAGCAUCCACUUGCAUCCAACAAUCUUGCAUGGGUGGGGCACACCCAACCUAAGUGUUCUCGAAGUUUGGAUGGUGUUGGAGCUGUUCUUUCCAAACUUCCAGCUUCUUCUUGUCUCACGUUCACCUGCAAUGCAAGGUUUACCCGGUGAAGCCCCGGGCAGACACCUCCGAUGGUUAAGU
RNAcentral lists this long non-coding RNA (51310 nucleotides) under Vitis vinifera (wine grape). RNAcentral's name for it is "long non-coding RNA (VVIN_LNC001900)". Lineage: Eukaryota; Viridiplantae; Streptophyta; Magnoliopsida; Vitales; Vitaceae. The record is from RNAcentral.